This 64193-nucleotide long non-coding RNA is filed under the name Medicago truncatula (barrel medic). Its description in RNAcentral is "long non-coding RNA (MTRU_LNC006236)". The stretch from base 62463 to 62547 matches the Rfam family "MIR2617 microRNA precursor family". Lineage: Eukaryota; Viridiplantae; Streptophyta; Magnoliopsida; Fabales; Fabaceae. The record is from RNAcentral.
AGAUCUUUAAUUUGAAUAAUGUCCGAAAAAAAUUAUUAAGAUUAAGUUUGAAAAUAAAAAUGAUAACAUUUUUAAAGAUCAGAUAAGUUUUACGGCGUAAAUCCUUGAUUCCAAAUAAUAAAAUUUUUGGAUAGACAAUAAAAAUCUGGACCAUCUCAUCAUUUCUGUUUUUUCCAUUAAAAAAUGAAAAUUCUAUUAUUCGAUUGGAGUCCACCACCAAUACCUAGAUCUUGAAUUGUGGAUAUGAAAAAAAAUUUGGUAAUAUAAAGACUCAAUUCUUACUACAAAAAAAUUUCCUAAGUUUUGUAAUGCUUACUCUAAAACUAUUUGUUUACACGAUAGUGGUAUUCUAUCUGACAGGUGAUGAGUCAUUUAUUGACUAUUUUAAUAUGCUUUUUAGUUUAGUUUUAUUUAGAUUUUAUUUGAUUUUAUAUUAGUAUUAUUUCCUUUUUAGGAUAGUUUACUUUAAAUUGCAUUUUAUUAUAUUUCAGGAAUGAAUAUUGGAUGGAUUGAGUCUUGGAGCAAAAGAAAGGGACUUGGAGCCGAUUGGAUGCAAAAUAUGAAGAUUGAGAGACAAAAAUAUGUCUCCCCCAAGUCAGAAGCUUGGCACGGCCGUGCCACCCUCCAGAGUCACUUUUGCUGCUUUUGCUUAGAUUUUAAGCUACUCUAUUUUUAGCCCGAAUGUAAUAGCUUAGAUUUUAAGUCGAACAAAUGCUAUAAAUAGAGUAGCCAUCCAUCACAAAUAUUCAUCUUUACUUGGAAUACAAUAAGUGACAAUUGCUUUUCUAAUUAAAGUUCUUUUCUUUUCCCUUUAUUUUCAUGUCAUUUACCUUUAUGCUUUCUCUCUUCUCCCCCAUGUCUAUGAUGAACAUGAGUGAGUAGACUUCUCCUUGUCUUGGGAUUGUUGGAUAAGUCUAAAUGACAUAAUCCUAAUCAAACCAAGCUCUAAGCCUUAAUCUUAUGUAACCCAAAUUUCUUAUCUGAAUUCACCGCUUUAACAUGGAUCAACCAUUAUCAAACUGUGGAAACGAAAGUGAAGGGUUUGAUAAUUGUUUAUCCAUUAUUCCAAAUAUCAAUUCAUAAAAGGAAAGUGGAGCUUUGAUAUUCGAACAAGUGAAUUCAGACAAGGAUUGCAAAGUCAGCGAAAUAGGCUUUGCAAUCUUUGAGACAUAUAGUUUCGAUCUUCAAGGGAACUAAUAACAAUCAAGUCAGCGAAAUAGGCUUGGUUGUUAGAGGAACCAAAAUCUAAUAGUAAUCAAGUCAGCGAAAUAGGCUUGGUUGCUAGAGGAACAUAAGAGAAACUGUCUUGAGAAAUUAGGUCUAACAUAACAUUAUAAGCUUAUAGUUUUGGUUUGAGAAGGACUUGCUAUUUAGAUGAAACCAACGAUCCCAAGGCUCUUUUUAUACUAUUAACUUUCAACGCUUGAAAACCCCCAACUUAUAAUUCUUUUCUCUUCUAAUCAUCUCUAAAGGUUAAUUGAAUUGAACUACUCCAUGUCGGAACGAUACUCUUUUUACUACUUCGAUAGAACCGUGCACUUGCGGUUUUAUCUCAUCAAGUUUUUGGCGCCGCUUCCGGGGAGUAAACUAAUUUGAUUAACUCUUUCUUUGUGAUUAGAACUCUUUUCUUUUCCUCUUCUCUUCUAUUUUUCUUUCUUUUUAUUACCAAUUAACUUCUUGGGUUCUCAAUUUCUUAUGCGAAGAAGUAAAAGUCUCGGAGAAUUUAUUCCGGAGAUCGAAAGAGUAUGCUACUCCUUCAAUGGAAGAGCCACAAGCUAUUAUCGUGUACCCAACGGUUGAGGGUAAUAACUUCGAGAUCAAGCCUGCACUACUCCAUUUAGUGCAGCAAAAUCAGUUUUCUGGAUCACCCACUGAGGAUCCAAAUCUCCAUAUUUCUUCCUUCCUUAGACUCAGCGGCACCAUAAAAGAGAACCAAGAAGCCUUAAGACUCCAUCUCUUUCCCUUCUCCUUAAGGGAUAGAGCUAGCGCUUGGUUCCAUUCCCUAGAAGUCGGUUCCAUCACUUCAUGGGACGAUAUGAGGCGAGCACUCCUUGCCCGAUUUUUCCCCCCAUCUAAAACCGCUAAACUUAGAGAUCAAAUCAUGCGGUUCAAUCAAAAAGAUGGGGAGUCUCUCUAUGAGGCGUGGGAGCGUUUCAAGGAAAUGCUUAGACUUUGUCCCCACCAUGGCCUAGAGAAAGUGGCUUAUAGUCCACACGUUUUAUAAUGGCUUGUCAUAUACCACUAAGAUGUCUGUUGAUGCAGCUGCAUGAGGAGCUCUAAUGAACAAGAACUAUACAGAGGCUUAUGCCCUGAUUGAAGACAUGGCUCAAAAUCAUUACCAAUGGACCAACGAGAGAGCCGUCACCGCUCCUACUCCCUCUAAGAAAGAGGCAGGUAUAUACGAAGUCUCUGAAUAUAACCACCUUGCUGCUAAGGUUGAGGCAUUAACCCAAAAAUUUGAAAAACUUAAUGUUAAUGUUGUCGCACCUUCUUCUGCAUCCCCUCCUUGUGAAAUCUGUGGUAUAUCCGGUCAUAUCGGUGUUGAUUGUCAAAUAGGUAGUGCUGCCAAUACUGAGCAACUGAAUUACGCUCAAUAUAACCAAGGAAUGAGGCCAAAUCAAAAUUUUUACAAAAAUCCUCAAGGUUCCUAUGGACAAGCAGCACCACCUGGCUAUACAAACAACCAGAGAGUGGCUCAGAAAUCAAGUUUGGAGAUUUUAUUGGAAAACUGCAUAGCUAAUCAAAAUAAAAAUCUUCAAGAACUGAAAAACCAAACGGGAUUUCUGAACGACUCUCUCUCCAAACUCACUACCAAGGUUGAUUCUAUCGCCACACACACCAAAAUGCUUGAGACCCAAAUCUCCCAAGUGGCCCAACAAGUGGCCACCUCUUCUCAAAAAACAGGAGUCUUUCCUGGUCAACCUGAAACAAACCCCAAAGCUCAUGUCAACGCUAUUUUUCUUGGGGGUGGUAAGCUAGAAGAGACCGUUGCUAAAGCCAAAAGUGUCAAGGGAGAGAGUGUUAAGUGUCUAGGUAAGAAAGGUGCGAUAGAAGGUGAGAAACCGCUUGAUAAGAACAAAGCCCUUACACCAUUAAGGCUUACUAAGCUCGACUUGGAGGCUCAAUUCACUAAAUUCUUAAACAUACUUCAAAAAAUUUGCAUUAAGAUUCCCUUCGCUGAAGCUUUGUCUCGUAUGCCUCUAUACGCCAAGUUUUUAAAAGAAAUUUUUUCAAAGAAAAAGGCUAUAGAUCGUAAUGAAACAAUAGCUUUGACAAGGGAAAAUAGUGCGAUCAUCAAGAAGCCACCUACAAAGCUUAGAGAUCCAGGAAGUUUUGCGAUCCCUUGUAUGAUAGGGAGUGAAACCUUAAACCGAGCCUUAUGCGAUUUAGGAGCAAGUGUUAGUCUGUUGCCCUUACCCCUCUUUAAAAGGCUGGGGUUGGGAGAGUUAUAGCCUACCGAAACAACAUUGAAGUUAGCCGAUCGUUCUGAUAUCCAACCUGUCGGAUAUGUCGAACAUCCCUGUUAAAAUAGAAGGGAUAGACAUCCCAACUGAUUUCAUGGUGCUCGACAUAGAUGAGGACAAUGAGUGCCCUAUAAUCUUAGGACGACCCUUUCUCGCCACUGCGGGUGCUAUAGUAGAUGUUCAGAAUGGUAGGAUUGUUUUUCAAGUGAGUGAUGAGUUGAUUGGGUUUGAGUUGGAGAAUUAUAUGAAAGGUCCCGCUCUCUAUUCUUGUAACAUGGUUAAAGGUCAUGAUGUGAAAGAACGCUCAUUAGCACCAUCUACACAAUAUGACCUCUUUGAUCCCUUCUAAGGACACUUUCUUAUAACGUCAAGCUAAUGACUAUAAAGAAGCGCUUCGUGGGAGGCAACCCACGCAUUUAACAGCUUUUGUUUUGUUUUGUUGUUUUGUUUUUAAUUGUUUUGUAGGUAAUUAUCCGAAUAUGAUUCAAGAAAAGGGAAAAUUUUGAAACCCCGAUAUCCAGAACCUUGGCACGGCCCGUGCUCACACUGGCACGGCCGUGCCAGACCUCACCUUCCAAACACCUUCCAAAACUCCAGAAAGUAGGCACGGCCCGGGUAAGGUUGGCACGGCCGUGCCCGACUCCAGGUAAAGAUAAACCUCACCUUUCAUCUUCUUCUUCCUUCAUUCUUCACCACAAACAUCUCUCUACAUUCAAACUUUUCUCAAAAACCUCCAUAACCAUAACAAUCUCAAACCUCCAUAUCUGCCUCAACACAUCACCAAUUCACAAAAUUUCUUCACCCAAUCAACCACAAUCCACAUCUCAAUCAUAACCCUUCAAUCAAAAACAACUUUCCUCCAUCCCUACCAAAAAUCAUCAAAUUCGUAGCCCCCACUCACCUACCCAAAAACCCACACAUUCUUCACCAUUUCACCCAACCCAACUCCUAACAAUCACUCAAACACCAACCCCAUCACCCCACCAACCUUUUCCACCAAAAACAUUUCACAAAACCCAACCUUCACCCAAAACACCAAAGGUCAACCAAGGUUAAGGAUAAUGGCAUCUAGGAAAGGUGGAGCAAGCUCUUCCAGAGGACCACAAUCAAAGAAAAAAACGCAAGCCAAGAAUCAUGGCAUCCUCUUCAAGGACACCAAGCAAAGGGACAGGUAUAAAAUUCUUAUCUCUAAACCUUUGCAUCCUUGUCGAUAUCCUGAUCCUUAUACUUUAAGUGUGCUAGGACUAAGGGAUAGUGUGUUUAGCUUACUAGGAAAUUUAGGAUAGGUUGAUAUGCUUAGACCUAUGAAAGGUUUUGAAAAUUUCACUUUUGAAUUCCUAAGUUCUAUUGAAUUUACGAAGGAUAAAAUGAACUUUGAUAACCCCACCAUAGAGUCUCCUUCUGACUUUUAAAUAUGGAUUACGAGAUGUCCUUUGAAAAUUUUUGUUUAGAAAUGGACUUCGCAAAUGCGGGGUUCAUCCAUGCCUCUUGGAAUCCAAAUCUAAAGUCGGAAGACUAUGACCCCGCUCUCUUUUGGAAACGCAUUACCGGGCUAAGGCAAUAUAACCCUCGCAACAUUAAUAAGGCUAGUAACAUUCACAACCCAGUGCUUAGAUACCUCCAGAGAGUCAUGGCUUGUACUAUUUGGGCUAGAAAAGAGGUAGGAACAACUAGGACGGAUGAACUUUUUAUGCUUUGGGCAAUGCUUAGUAACAAUCCCGUUAAUACUUGUUUCUACCUACUUUAUUACCUUUCCUCCAUAGGAGCUAGACCUGACAAUAGAGCUGAGAUAGUAGUCGGUGGUAUCAUUACCUUCAUCGCUAGGAAGUUUGGAGUGGGUGAGGAAGAUAGGAUAAAUCCAAUUGAGGGCAACAAUAGGCUUAAUAUUGAAACUCUUUUUGCUAUGAACUUCAUUAAGAUUCACCCACCCAUUACUUAUGCACUUCAACUUCGCAUACCUCUUUUGUUUCUACUUCCUAACCCAUCUCGGACUAACCCCGAGGUGGAGGAAAAUUUGUUGUAUGUUGGUGAUGGAUUACAGGUACAUGAAGAGCAUAAUCAAGGUGACGAAGAAGGUGCACACAUACACCACGAAGAGGAACCCCAUGACCCUAACGACGUCAAUGAAAGAUGGGCAUGGAUCCAAACCGAGGUACAAAGGAUAAGCACCGAGCAACAAAGACAAGGUGUUGAAUUAUCCGGGCUAAGAAAUGAUGUCCUAAGGGGCAACCGCAUAUCCGAAGAAAAUAACCAAAUGCUUAGGAACAUGAUGCAACACUUCAACCUCCAAGGCCCUCCCUAUGGACCUCAAUAAAAAUGUGAGCUUUCCUCUUCCUCUUUUUCACCUUAUCUCUUCAAUCUCUAUCUCAUUCUUCUCCCUCUCCUUCUUUUUUUCUCUUUUAUCUUGAAUCAUUGAGGACAAUGCUUCUCCUAAGUGUGGGGGGAGCCUAAUAAAGUGUCUUUAGUCGUAGUGUUUCCAAACUCCCUUGAACUUUAUUCUUUUGUUUUGUUUCAUUGUAAAAGGCAUGGUUAAGUAGCUAAUUUUUAUUGAAAAUAUCAUGACACAAAAUUUUCAUUGUCUCCUCUUAUUUGGUUGAUUCUUGUACAUGAAAGCAAACUCUUGUGUUUUAAGUCUUCUUGAUAUACCCACAUCUUGUUUUAAAGUGAAUAAAAUUCUCCAAUGAGAAAAACACAAAGUUGCUUCCCUUGAGUAAAUGUAUGAAUAGGUAUUUUAAGGAAACGCGUUUUAAUCUUAGUGGUGCAUUAACCUUUUAAGAUUCUCAAAGUGCCAGUAGUAUAAGUUAGUAUAAGGGAGUUCAUAAAAAGCCAAAUUAAUUCCAAGAUCUCAUCAUUGAAUCUAGAUUGGGGAAGGAGGUAGGCCCUCCGACUUCCUACGUGAAGAUGAUUGUUAUCUUGAGAAAAAAACUUUAAAAAGCAUCAUUGAAUCUAGAUUGGGGAAGGGGGUAGGCCCUCCAGAGUAACUUUUGCUGCUUUUGCUUAGAUUUUAAGCUACUCUAUUUUUAGCCCGAAUGUAAUAGCUUAGAUUUUAAGUCGAACAAAUGCUAUAAAUAGAGUAGCCAUCCAUCACAAAUAUUCAUCUUUACUUAGAAUACAAUAAGUGACAAUUGCUUUUCUAAUUAAAGUUCUUUUCUUUUCCCUUUAUUUUCUUGUCAUUUACCUUUAUGCUUUCUCUCUUCUCCCCAUGAACAUGAGUGAGUAGACUUCUCCUUGUCUUGGGAUUGUUGGAUAAGUCUAAAUGACAUAAUCCUAAUCAAACCAAGCUCUAAGCCUUAAUCUUAUGUAACCCUAAUUUCUUAUCUGAAUUCACCGCUUUAACAUGGAUCAACCAUUAUCAAACUGUGGAAACGAAAGUGGAGGGUUUGAUAAUUGUUUAUCCAUUAUUCCAAAUAUCAAUUCAUAAAAGGAAAGUGGAGCUUUGAUAUUCGAACAAGUGAAUUCAGACAAGGAUUGCAAAGUCAUCGAAAUAGGCUUUGCAAUCUUUGAGACAUAUAGUUUCGAUCUUCAAGGGAACUAAUAACAAUCAAGUCAGCGAAAUAGGUUUGGUUGUUAGAGGAACCAAAAUCUAAUAGUAAUCAAGUCAGCGAAAUAGGCUUGGUUGCUAGAGGAACAUAAGAGAAACUGUCUUGAGAAAUUAGGUCUAACAUAACAUUAUAAGCUUAUAGUUUUGGUUUGAGAAGGACUUGCUAUUUAGAUGAAACCAACGAUCCCAAGGCUCUUUUUAUAUUAUUAACUUUCAACGCUUGAAAACCUCCAACUUAUAAUUCUUUUCUCUUCUAAUCAUCUCUAAAGGUUAAUUGAAUUGAACUACUCCCUGUCGGAACGAUACUCUUUUUACUACUUCGAUAGAACCGUGCACUUGCGGUUUUAUCUCAUCAACAGGACAAAGAAAUAGGAAGGGAUGGUUCUUUCAUUGCAUUGAUAGAAGUCUAACUAGAAAAAGAUCUCUCUAUAACUUUGAGAAGAGAAUCGUUGGUUUGACCGACGAACUACGUGGGAAAAUGGACCUUCUUUCCUUUCUUUGAUUUUCAGCAAGCAUUUUUUGAAAGUAACAAUUCUAUUUAUGAAGUUUGGUUUAGGAAAACUUGCUAGUCGCGGAUUAGUGCGUUCUGCGCCGCCGGCGGCGCAAGUUUGGUACCAUUUCGAUGUGUUUCGAUUCUUCCGAACAAGAGAGGUUUGAUGCUUUUGAAUUCAUUGUAUGAAUUCCACUUCCUACUCGCAGUAUGCUCUUUAUGAUCUCGGCUCAUGAUUCAAUUGCCAUGUAUUUAGCUAUUGAGCCUCAAAGUUUAUGUUUUUAUGUGAUGGCAGCAUCAAAAAGAAAGUCUGAAUUUUCCACGGAAGCCGGCUCGAAAUAUUUAAUCUUAGGUGCAUUUUCCUCUGGAAUCUUACUGUUUGGGUACGACCGGACAACUACCGCUAUCUAAAAAUAUCCUUUCUUAGCUUAGAAUGUUGUUGUUAAAUAUAUAUCGUAAACUAUCGGAUUGGGAUUUUUCCUAGAUCUAUAUAGAGCCCAUUGGCUUUUCAUCGAGAUUCUAGCAAGCGCGUUGUUUUGAAUGCAUUCGGAAUUGGAUUGCGGUUCUACGAUAUAUCGAUCCGAAGAAAUUUCAGUUGUAGGAAGUGUGAUGCAAAGGAUACGGGAUCGCAUCCGAGCUCUUGAAGACCGGAAAGAGGCCCUCCUUCAAGAACAGCAAUCUCUCCUUGUGGAGGGGGCCAUAAGCAACCGCAGGGGAAAUGGAAACAACGGGGGGAACUAGAAUAGAAGAGUCCGUCGACUCUUUCUAGAAGAUUAAAAUAAGUAGUCCGUCGACGCAAAGUAGUGUGUUUUAAUGCAUGGCUUUAUUUGUUAUGUUUCAUGUUGUUAUAUUUCUUUUGGCACAAAAAUUGAAAUAGGUAGUCCGUUUUGGUACCAUAUCUAUUCCCAUGUUCCGAUCUUUCAAAAUAGUAAACCCAUUUUCCGGGUAAAGAAUACAAACAAUAUCUUAAUAAGAAUUGGCUAUCCAUAUAAAGAUAACGAAUGCUUUCUCCUCGUUCAUAUUCACAGUAAAAGUGAUCCGCUUUGCUUUCUUUUAGCAAAGACUUGUUGUAAUGUAACGAACGAAUGUAUGUGGUUGUUUACCAGAAAGAUAUUGGACUCUUUUUUCUUUGUCGGCUGUAAACCAAGUUGCAAGACCGGGAAUGAGCUUUACAACCUGGUUCCCAGUUCUUGAAGGGAGGGGAAGAUCCCGCUACCGAUCUAAUUGCCUUGCCUACAACAGACAGAUCUGGGGGCUAUGGCUUUGAACGGCUCUAGCGAAAGUUAUCUUACCGGGAAGUAACAUUGUACUUGAUUGCUUCUCAUGUCUUGAUUCCAAAAACUCUUCCUCCAAGUUCGAUGUUGAUAAGCUUGCUCGUCUUGCUGAUAUUUAUCAUGCAGACUUUUCUGAUGAUGACUGUUGAACAAUAAGGGAGCAACUUGACACUUUUGUACUUCAAGUGAAAAUGCAUGCUUCCUUUUCUUCUUGUGAAGAUGUUCAAAGUUUGGCUAUGAAGAUGGUUCAAACUAAGAAACAUUUGGUAUUUCCAUUGGUCUACAAAAUCAUUGAGUUGGCUUUGAUAUUGCCAGUGUCGACAACUUCCGUUGAAAGAGCUUUUUCACCAAUGAAGAUUAUCAAGACUAAAUUACGCAACAAGAUCAACAAUAUGUGGUUGAAUGACUUGAUGAUAUGUUACACCGAGCAGGAGAUAUUCGAGUCACUUGAUGAUGUUGAUAUUAUUCGAACAUUAACUCAAAAGAGGUCGCGGAAAGGGAAUUUACCUCCUAAUUUUAUUUAGCACGCUAUUGGCAGGUUAUAUUUCAUCUUUCUUAUUUAAAAUUGUACUUUUGUUGAAAAAAUGAAGAACCUCUUUUAUUUCGAUUUAUGACUAUUUAUAUAUAUUAUGUCACAUAUGAAUUUGCGAUAAACUUUUUGCCCAAGCUCUAUAAAAUUCCUAGCUCCGCCACUGUACUAAACGUAGGACUUUUAUCAUGAUCACUUCUAAAUUUACAAUCAUGAUUGAUGUGCUGCAAGGCUAGAAAGUGAAUAUUGGUCGCUGGUUGGUGGUUUCCUAAUUGGUAACAUAGGUGGUGGUGUUGUCGUUGUUUUGUUGCAGACAGUAUUAGCAGUAGCUUGCUUGUUGUAGGUUUUGUUUUUCUUAUAUUGCUUGUUCUGAUGAGGCCUAAUUGGUGUGGUCUAAUUUGGCUUGGCAGUGUCAUAAACUAAUAAUGGAUGAAAAUGGAACCCUUUAAUUUGUUAAACCACAAAUGUAGUAACUCCUUAAUUUCUUAGAUUAUAUGUAAAUUGUCAAAAACUGUAAAACUACAUCUUUUUGCAUUUAGACAACCAGACAACAUUGUUAAUUGAUAGUUUGUUACAUCAGCAUGUUUACAGCUAGGGGGUCUAGCACAUUGUCGUUCGAUUGAUUCACACAUAACUGUAUGGAAUAGUGUUGGAUGAUAAAUUGAUAAUUUGACCAUUGCACUACUUGACUUGAAUGCAAAGUGUGGCAGCAUUGACAAUGAAUAUGAGCUAUUUCAUGGCCUAAUGAAGAAGAAUUUGGUAGUGUAUUUUGCAGUGAUCUUUCAAUGUGUAAUACAUGGAAAAACACCUACUAAUGUGUGAUCCAUUUGAUGUGAGACUUCCACUUUUUUCAAUUCACACUACAUUAAUUCUACCCAUUGUGGGAAUUUGUGUUUAGUCAAUUACUCAAUUUCAACAUAUGUUCCAACAAUCCUCCAAUUGAAUUUAAAAUAUGAUUUCAGUAAUAACGUCAAAGACGUUUCCAUAAGGUUGCUAAUAAACAAAGGUGUUGUAGACAAGUUGAACCUUUGCAUAGCGGAUAAUACUCUGACUUGUCAAGAGUUGCCUACAACAUUGAACUCUAUCUCAGACAUAGAACCCGCACACAAACCUUUUCCUUAAAGUGUAUUCUAUAAGCCCGUGCGUUUAUGGCCCUACACGUCUAUCCCAGUUUUAACGAACGCUCUAGGAAUUCUGCCUCGAAAUUCCAUAGGACCGGCCUCAGUUCCACAUUCGUAUAGGUGAGUCUAUCAAGGAUACUCCUGUAACUAGGUACCCCACUCAAUAUAGAGUAUAGAUCUCAUUACGAGUUUCUAUUACCUCAUCCUUCUUUCAUUGCAGGAUCAUGCAUUCUUAAUCCUUAUCAUAGCAUGUUCUAUCACUUCAUGACUUGUUAUUACCCAUUGAACCUAAGUCUUGGGAUCUCCAGUCAUGUAGGUCGGGUUUCCAUCACUUAGUAAUCUAUAAGCAUUAGUCUCAUCCUAUUCGAUGUGUUUUAGGACUUUCUUUCUAGUAAUUCCUUUCGUCAAAGGAUUGACUAAUUCUUUAUCAGUACGUACAUGAUAUACUUUAACCGUUCCUUUUGAGAGUAGCUAGCUCUACAUACUUUAUGUGUUCGUUCCUUAUGAUCUUUCAAUAGCAUGACAAUGCUUCUCAUCCGUCUAAUAGUAAACUUGAACAAAAGUCUCACGACGUGGCCAACGUUGAGUCUAAUACAUACAAUGACAUACCUAGAGGCUACCAUUGAUGCUCGCAUAUUCUAUUUGUCUAACACCAUCUCAAGUGUUCUUGAAAAGUUUUACACUUAGAUCAUAAAGUGUGCUAGCAAGUUUAUAGUCAAAUAAUUACAUUUCCUUAAGCUAUUCUAAACCUUGUGAGAUUCAUCGAAAAAGUUCUCUUUUUUGAUCUAGUAAUCUUGAAACCAAGAAUUACUUAAACUUUUUCAAGGUCUUUCGUAUAAAUGUUGUUGAUAAACAAUGAUUUCACAUAAUUCAUAACAUGAAUCUCUAAUCCAAAUAUGAGCAAGUCGUCUUCAUAGAGACAUAUGAUCGUGCAAAUAUUAUUUCCAUGUUUAUAUCGAGUUUUCAUCCUGGAAGAUGAAAAGUCACACUUUGACCAAAACCAUAGGUAGCUUGGUUUGUAAGCUAAGUCUUACUAAAUUUAAUUUGAUUAGUAUGAUAGUCAAAGUAUGAUGAUUAUCGAUCAAAUGAACAAAUUAAUUGACUGAAACAAUGUUUAUAUCGAGUUUUCAUUCUUGAAGAUGAAAAGUCACACUUUGACCAAAACCAUAGGUAGCUUGGUUUCUAAGCUAAGUCUUACUAAAUUUAAUUUGAUUAGUAUGAUAGUCAAAGUAUGAUGAUUAUCGAUCAAAUGAACAACUUAAUUGACUGAAAAAAUGUUUAUAUCGAGUUUUCAUUCUGGAAGAUGAAAAGUCACACUUUGACCAAAACCAUAGGUAGCUUGGUUUCUAAGCUAAGUCUUACUAAAUUUAAUUUGAUUAGUAUUAUAGUCAAAGUAUGAUGAUUAUAUAUCAAAUGAACAAGUAAAUUGACUGAAAUAAUGCUUAUAUUGAGUUUUCAUCCUUGAAGAUGAAAAGUCAAACUUUGACCAAAACCAUAGGUAACUUGGUUUGUAAGCCAAGUCUUACUAAAUUAAAUUUGAUUAGUAUGAUAGUCAAAGUAUGAUGAUUAUAGAUCAAAUGAACAAGUAAAUUAACUGAAAUAAUGUUUGUAAGCUAAGUCUUACUAAAUUUAAUUUGAUUAGUAUGAUAGUCAAACUGUGAUGAUUAUAGAUCAAAUGAACAAGUAAAUUGACUCAAAUAAUGUUUAUAUCGAGUUUUCAUCCUUGAAAAUGAAAAUUCACACUUUGACCAAAACCAUAGGUAGCUUGGUUUGUAAGCUAAGUCUUACUAAAUUUAAUUUGAUUAGUAUGAUAAUCAAAGUAUGAUGAUUAUAGAUCAAAUGAACAAAUAAAUUGACUCAAAUAAUGUUUAUAUCGAGUUUUCAUCCUUGAAGAUGAAAAGUCACACUUUGACCAAAACCAUAGAUAGCUUGGUUUGUAAGCUAAGUCUUACUAAAUUUAAUUUGAUUAGUCUGAUAGUCAAAGUAUGAUGAUUAUAGAUCAAAUGAACAAGUAAAUUGACUAAAAUAAUGUGGCUUAAUACAUCAUUUGGUCCCUUAAUUUAUUUUUGACUUUCAUUUUAAUCUCCUAAUUAAAAAACGUCUCAAAUUGAUCCCUUAUGUCUUCUUCCGUUAUCUCUUUUGGUCCUCUCCGUUAGUUUUUAACAUCAAAUGUCUUAGGUGAACCAUGUUUAAAGGUGGUCCACCAUAUGCCUUACUAAAUUUUUUAAUUUUAACCAUUUGAUUUUUUCUUUAAAACAAGACCAUUGAAUCAAGUUGAGUCUAUUGUACUUUACUGUGAACCACUAACAUCUGAUAAAAUCCAUUCAUCUUCUUCCUCAUCUCUUCGUGUUCUUCAUAAAAUUAAACAAAAUUAGAAGAAAAAGAAAGAAAGAAAAACUCACAUCCAUUGAUCUUAAAUUAUCAAUAAAUCUCUAAAUAAUUUCUUCCUCCAUUACAAUGAUCUUCCAUCCCUAAUUCUCUAGUUAAAAAACUCAGAUCCAUUUCUCGCUUCAAACCCAAAGGCUCUCUAACUCCCAAUCUAUCAUUGUCCUCUUUUCCGUGCUAUUAUUAUGCAAAUCCAAAAACAACACACGACCCAAGCCGACACUUACCUAGAUCCACAAAAAUGAUUAUCUUGUUGAUGUUACUCUUGAAUAUUUCUCAAAUGAUGACAAAAUAGAUAGGGACAUCAUAUCUCCAUUAAAAAAACGAAGAAGAUGAAGUAAUAUGCUGAGUGUUGAUAAUGUUAAGAUAUUGACCAAAAUCAUAGGUAGCUUGGUUUGUAAGCUAAGUCUUACUAAACCAUAGGUAGCUUGGUGUAGUCUUUCUGGAGCUGAAGCAAGGAGAUAUGUCCCCAGUCGAGUAACUAGUUCGCAUCCAAGAACGACUCGCACCUGUCUGUCUGCCUUUAUUCCUGAUCGAGUGCCCAGCUCAAUCCAAGAGCAGCUUGUACCUGUCAGUUUGUUUUUUGUGACCUGUCUACCCUGUCAUCUGCUAUCCUGCCAAUGUCUACCAAUCCCGCAAUGGAUACGACAUACUUUAAAUCCAACUCUCGUUUGUCUUGCAUUCAUAAUCCAAAUGUUGCAUGGCAUUCAUGAUAUUCGAAAGUGUACGAGCGUAUUUUUACGUCCAAACACAGUGCAAAUGUUAGUAUUUAAGUAUCUUCGUCCCGUCAAGCCAAGGACUCCGUCUCUUGACCCUCGGGACAAAGAAACUUAAAUAGGGGCAGCUGUUAUACCCUGAUUUUGGACCUAAAAAUACUCGUUCAAAUUUCUUUUCUACCACUGAUAAUUGUCAAUUUACUGUUGUUUUACUUUGAAUCUUCACUUUAUUUUCAUCUGCAUAUUUUACUGUCUCUGUCUCAAGGUAUUUUCAAAUCAUGGUUUUGCUUGUGUUUUUCUUGCAUAGGAUCAUCCCAAAGUGUCUUUCUUACAUUACAAGUCAUUUGAAAACUCUCUGAAUCAUUGCAUUGCUUUUCCUGCAUGUUAUUUCAAAAAUCAUACAAAAGGGGUAUUUUGGUCAUUUCCUGCAGUGGAACCCAUUUUAGUCCCUGUGUUUGUCUCUGAGUCUUUUCGGCUUGUUUUACGAAUCAUCGUUGAGUCUUUGUUUAAAAACCAUUUCAAAAUUGUGUCUGAGUCAGUUUGAGUCAGCUUAGUCCCUAGGGGCAUUUUAGUCUUUUCCCAUCCAAAAUUCGACAGAGAGGUAUUUUAAAAUACCUCAUUGUUGUAAUUGGUUCGUUUUAGUCCUUUGUUGGUUUUAUUUUAGGUUUCACUUUACUUUUUUUUUUCUUUCAAUUUACCAAUUUUAAUUCAAUUUUAUUUUUAAUUGCAUUAUGAUCCCUCAAGCAAGUUUCCAGAAUUGCACUUUAGUCCAAAGCUUUUUAAAUUUGCAUUUUAGUCCAUUAUUAUUAAUUGCAGUUUAGUCCUCAAUUUUACAUUUUUUGCAGAAAGGUCCUUAGGUCACAACAAGUCCAAGGCCGAGCCAUUUUUCAUACAUGUCCAGGUGUCACCAUUUCAUUGGAUCUCAAGUACAAGUGGCAGCUUAUAAAUAGUGCACAGUGUCAGAGAAAUCCACACAGUGACCCAUUCAACCAGUGCCACAUCACAAACACGUGAAAAACUUCUCUCUCUUGGCAGUUAGGAUCAAAACAGAAAAUCCACCAAGAACAAUUCACAAACCCUAACUUUCAGAACCAAAUUUCAUCAACAAAUUCACCGAAAUCGCAUCAGUUCUCAGAGAUUCAUGGAUGAAUCUUCAUCACUGAACUGAAGUCUCUGCAAUUCCAGGCGCGAAUUCCUCACCGGAGGUGAGAAACUCAAGCACCGAUCACAGGGAGAAGAAGAAGAAAAGGAAAAGAGUUUCAAACCGGCGAAGAAGAUGAAGAAAGUGAACCGGUGAAGACACCGAUUUAUUUUCGGUUUCCAAGCAAAAUCAACAAAACAGAGCCAAGAAUCAAGUUUUUCCGAAGAAUCUCGUGAAAUCUCCGAUUAAAAACUCAGGUAAAACUCAAACUUCAUCUUCCUUUCUCAAGAACAGUAACAAAGACGAAGCUAUGUAGAUUUGUAGGAGUUUGAACGGUUACAUUCAAAAAGUUGAAAAAACCUAAAAAUGAUUUUCAAAACUGUAUGAAAAUUCUAGAUCUACGUUGUUUCAAGCCUUGUUUGUGAAAAUCAGUGUUAGAUUCGUGUUUAGGGUUUAGAGGCGAGUAGAAGGACGUAAGAAUUUUGAAGUUCUGGUGAGGUUAGAGGUUGCCGGAAACUGGAGAUCUCACCGGAGAAGAUGAAGAUUCCGGCGGACCUAUGAAGGUUCCGGCCAGAUCUUCAUCUUCCCCGGCCGUUCGUUCAUGAGUCCGGCGGAGGAAGUCAAAGAGAGAUGAGAGAAGUGAGAAGUUAGAGAGAGAAAGGACAAUAGCAAAUGAAAUAAACCGCUGCUCCCCUCCUUGUAUAGGCCAGUGAACCGGACCGGUCCAAGACCGGUCCAUUUCCCUUCAAUCCUGGCCGUUUGAUCUAGGGUUUGAUCCCUUGGAUCAAUCCUGUGGUUCCUGUGCGUCCGGACCCUUUAGGUUUGGGCUUGGGCCUGUUCCCUUUGGUUUAGCUGCGUUUUUGCUGUUUUCUUGCUAUUCACACCUUGUUUUCUUGCUGUUUGAACCACUGUUCGUUCUGAUUUUCUCGUAAAAAUUCCUAAAAAAAUUUCUAUGUGUUUCUUGAUACAUUUUUGACUUUUUUGUGAUGUUUUACAUGUUAUAAAAUUGAUAAAAAAUACAUGUGUUGCUUUCUUGAUUACUUUUUCUCUUUAGUUGAAUUUCAUGCAAUUUCUCGUUUUUCCGUUCGUGAUAUCUUGAUCUAUGGUAUGAAUGUCCGAUGUGCAAUUUCAUGAUGAGAAUGUCGCUGUUUGUGUGUGUGUUUCGCUGUUUUCGACAUGAUUUGUUAAUUUCUUGCCUCGCAACUAUUGCAUUUCUCUUUGUAUUGUGGUUAUCGUCGUUAUUUUACCGUUUAUCCUAUAUUCCUUUGUUUGCUCUCCUUGCCAUAUUUUCAUGCCUCAUUUUACUAACCAUUUUUGUUCUAUGUCUCAUCCAUUUUAUAGCAUUUCAUCAUUUCAUUCCUAUUCAUUCUUAUGUUAAGUGGACAUGUAAUAGUUCUAGGUAGUUUAGUUUCCUUUUAAUUUCUUGCAAGACCAUAUCAUGUAAACUAGGGCAAAGUGUAAAGGACAAUGGACUCUCUAUAAUGAUGUACACCGACACAAGCACCGACACGCACACACGUUAUAUGUUUACCGCUUAGAUGUAUGUUUAGGAAACGCAAUACUUAGAAAAAAUAUCAUUUUCCCGGAAAUAACUCCAUAACUCAAACUUUUUUUUCUCUAAUAAACCUUGGAGUCAACACUCCAUUGUAUUUUCCUUUAUUUUCUUAAUCAAAACUUCAAUGAAUCUUAAUUUCUACUUAGACACUCUUUCUUUAAUAAUUGAACCAACCAUUCACUAUUGUCUCGUCUCAUGCCUUUACGGCCUCCUUCUCUUCUUCAAAACCAUUUGCAAAACUUAAAAUCAAUCAAACACACAAAAACAAUUUUUUGAGAGAGAACUACAUGGAAUUUUGAUCCCUUAAAAGGGUAUGUAGGCAAGAGGUCAAAACCUCUCCAAGUCCAAUAAAAUAAAAUCUCAAACAUUUUCCUCCCUCCAUUCUUAAACUAAAUAAACUUUCUUUUCAAUAAAUAAGCAUAAAAAUAAAGCGUAGUCAUAAACUUAGGAAAACGGUUCCUAUAGAAUACUAUAGUCGUUCCGGAUGCUUAACACCUUCCCGUAACGAAAACGACCCCCGAACUUAGAGUUUCAAAGGGUUUUCUCAAAUUUCCCCUUCCCAAGAAAAAAUAGAGAAUAUCAAAGAUUGAAAGGUUCAAGCCUAAUUAAUGACUUGACACCCCAAAAUCCAGAUAACAAGGCCCAAGAGGGAAGAGACUCCUGUUGAAAUAGUUUGUUACAGAUGUGGUGAGAAAUACGCAGACGAUGCACGAGGAUCGCUUGAUUAGAGGUAUAUUUUCAAGGACGAAAAUUCUUAAGUUGGGGAGAGUUGUAACGCCCCAAUUUUAUUUAAUUAUUAUUGGUCGUUUUAAAGUCUUUUUAUAUAUGAUUUUAUAUUAUUAUGUGGUCUGUUAUAUUUUAUUAAAUGAGUUAUGUUACUAUUUAAUAGAAUAAGUGGGAAUUUAGAAUAUUUGGAGUUCAAGGGGCUGAUUUAGAAAUAAGGAGAAUUGAGGGGGAUUAAGUGGGAAUAGAAAAAGUUGGAUUAGGUUUAGAAAGGAAACUAGAAAGGGAGAAUUAGUCAGAAAAACAUUUUCACGUGGAAGCAGCUUUUGGUAGAAAAACCAAGAGGGCGCCAAGAGUAUCCAAGAGAAGAUCGUGUAGAGCUUUGUUCAUCAAUGUAAGGUAAGGGUGGGACUAUCAUUCAGUGAUCUUAAGUCUAUAAUUCUGAAAUUGGAUUUAACAUGUAAGUUGUUCUUGAUUUGAGAAUUAGGGUUAAAAGUGAUGAUUUGGUGAUUAGAUGAUGAAAACGUGUUGAAUUAAUGUAAAAAUUGUGUACAGACCUUAGAUAAUGCAUAGGAUGAUGAUUUGAAUCAAAUUUAAGGAUAUAACCAUGGGAUUCGGUGAUUUUUAUGAAAAUCUGCGUUUCUGCCGGAGCUGAGAUUCAUCGCUCGCCCUCGCAUGCAGCAAGCCUCGCCUUGCGAGGGAUUAUCUUCAUCGCUCGCUUCGCGAGCCGUUUUCUCUCGCCUCGCGAGUGAACCCAGAUGUUGCUCGCCACCGCGAGCAAGACACUCGCCAUAGCGAGUUGACCAGUGAGGUCAUCAUGAUUUUGUGAAUUAACGUUGUUGGUCAAGUCCUAGAUGGUUUUGAGUGCCGGAAUGUGUAUAAGAAUGAUUAGGCAGUUUUUAGAAUGAAAUUCAUUAUGGAGAAGUUAAAAAUGGGAUUUUUGUGUGAAAAAGUUGAAGUUCCCGAGAGCACCCUGAUUUUAUUCGCCAAGGCGAGUAGCUGGUUCGCCAAAGCGAACAGCCACCUUUUGUGAACUCGCCAUAGCGAGUAGAGGCGCUCGCCUCGCGAGCCUUUGAGUGUCAGACAGCCUUGUUUAGGGUUUUUGCGAUCUUUGCCGCACGAGAUGCUAUGAGAUGAUCCUUGGGUUAAGAUAAAGAUUUAUUAAAAUAUUGUUGAUGUUCAGUGAGUCUGAUAUAAGAUGGUUGAUGAUGUUAAUAUUAUGGUAAAUUCGUCAAUGCAUUAUGUGGAUUAUGUAUGAUGUUUAAGUAGUGUUGAUUAUCAUUUGGUAUUGUCAUAUUUUGGGAUGUCUAUGUGCUACUAGUGUUGCUGUUGGAUCUUAAUUAAGAUGUAAAUGUUGGUCUAAAUUGUAAGCAUUGUUGGGUUGUACGUUGCCGAAUAAGUCAUAUGUAAGUUAUGGAAAUUGUCGAUGUUCUUAUCAUCGCUGGUGUUGUUGUUGAAGUCGUAGUUGUAUACUCUUACUUUAUCGUUUUUAUAAGAGGUGGUGUACUCUUACUUGUCGUUUUUAUAAGAGGAGGUGUACUCUUACUUUAUCGUUUUUAUAAGAGGUGGUGUACUCUUACUUUGUUGUUGUUUAUAAGAGGUGGUGUAAUCUUACAUUGUUUAUGUUGAUGAGUAUGACGAGGUUAUGAUGAUCUUUUAUAGGGUUGAAUGUGAGGUUGUUAUGAUAUUACAUGAUGUUACCUAUGAGUUGUUAAAUGUACUUGAUGAGGGUUAUGUUAAGUUGAUAAGUUGUCUUCUAUUCAUGAGCACUAAGGGGAUGUUAAGAAGAAUUAUUAUUGAGUGUAUAUGAUGAUGUCUAUGUUGUUAACUGUAAUUGAUGAAUUAUAUGCUUAUUAUUAUUGUUUGAGAAAUCUCACCCCUUCUGCUUGGAAAUGUUGCCCUUCGUAUGGGUAACUUGCAGGUAAUUGAAGAUUAGUAAGAGUCGUGGCUCAAGUGUCUAAGGCACUUAUACGUACGGGAUUGGAUUUCUUAUUGUUUUUCAUUCCUUAUGUAUCACAUUUUUGGAUUAUGCUGAUGUAGCCCUUAUUUGGUUGUUGAAUUAAUUGAUUGGGCUUUUAUGUCAAGACUUUUAUUGAAGAAUUAAUAUGUUGGAUGUUGUGGUUAUUUAAUGUUGAGAAAAUAUUUCCGCUGCAAAAUUGUUGUCGUUUUAUGAAGGAUGUUUUAUUAAAUAGUUUUAUAUUCUAUUUAAGAAAAUUUUGAAAGUAGUGUGACAUGCCCGUUUGGGAUUUACUUUGAUGAUUAUUUAAUAUUUAAUUGCCUUUGGGUAACGGGGUGUGAUAAUUGGUAUCAGAGCAGGUUGGUCCGUCCGGCCAAGUAGUAGAGUCGUGUUGAGAGUGUCAACUCUAAACUGUCUUUUGUUAUUCUAAUUGUUGUUUGUGGUGUAGUGUUUGGAGAUGGCUAGGAGAAAUGAUGCUGCUAUUGCUGCUGCACUUGAGGCUAUAGCUCGAGCUGUAGAACAACAUCCACAAGUUGGUGCUGGUAACGAUGGAGUAAGAAUGUUGGAGAAUUUCUUGAGGAAUCAUCCACCAACAUUCAAGGGAAGGUACGACCCUGAUGGAGCUCAGAAGUGGCUCAAAGAGACUGAGAGGAUCUUCAGAGUGAUGCAGUGUAGUGAGGUGCAGAAGGUGCGGUUCGGCACGCACAUGCUAGUUGAGGAAGCUGAUGACUGGUGGGUUAGUCUUCUACCUGUCCUAGAGCAAGAUGGUGCUCCUGUUACUUGGGCUGUAUUUAGGAAAGAAUUUUUUAGCAGAUACUGUUGGUGUAAGCCCUAGAGGCCAAUAGUUUAUGUUAAACCUAUCUUAUGUAUCAUGACUUUUAUUAUUGAAUAAUAUAUGGCACUCUUUAUUAUAUUUAGAUAAUGUUAAUAAAGUCCUUAGAAUAGAUAGUUCGUGUAAUAAUAUAUUAAGUGUGACUUAAUCAUGAGAUUACAUUAUCUUAUAGAACGCUAUUCUUAAAUGUAUCCGUAGUCAAAGCUUUAAUAUGAAUAAAGGAUAAUAAUAAAGCGUCGAGACUAUUAUGUAUGUAGACUGAUGACCGCAUCUCAUGGAUCAUAGAUAUGAGAUAUCAAGUCUAUACAUAGAUAUAAAUAUUAGGAGUAAUAUUUAUAUUGGAUUGACCCACCGUGAGAAUACUACAUAGUAAGUUAUGAAAUUGUCAUAAGAUAUUCUCACAAUGAUAAUAAUGUAUAUCGCUCUUAGACCUGAAACCACUAUGAUCUCUAGAUGUGGACUCAAGUGCUUUGUUGCCAUUCUAACGUUGUCUGUAAAAGGAUAAUCAUAACGUUGGUUGAUGGGUACUUGAUGAAUCAUGCUAAUGGACAUGAGUGUCCUAGAUGGGAUUUAUCCCUCCUCAUUAACAAGAGAUAUAUCUUUAGGCCUCUUGAUGAAAUAUGAUUGUAAAACUGCAUGGCCAUGCCGAACUAAGUCAAUAUGAGAUAUUGGACUUAUUCGUUAUCCAGUAUAUUUCCGAAUCAAGAAAUAUAAUUAUUGAUCUAUACAAGGGUGACAAUACCUAUGUCUUGGGAUCAAUAAAAGGUAUCGAGACAAAGGAGUAAUUGUACACGUGAAUAUUAUCAUGAAAGGUUUCGUCAGAUCACUUGAUAUUCUUGUCACUUGGAUAGCAAUGGUGUGUUGCUAGAUACCGCUCAAUGUUUAUAAUAUUAAAUAUCAGAUUUAAUAUUAUUGCCAACGUGACUAGAACCUAAAGGGUCACACACAAAGAACAGUCAAAAGAGAAAUAUAUAAGUACGACUUAUAUAAGGGGUGCGUUUAGUAAAUAACGCUAAUCAGUUAGCAAAACUACUAAACUCGUUAUUGGGCUUAGUGAAGUCCAAUAGUGGCUUCUGACUUGCAUAGCACACAAGGAGUUCUAUAAAUAGAACCCUAGUGCUAAAGUUCAAGGUUACGCGCUCUGAAGAAACCCUAGUUCUCUGACUUCCAAUUCCUUGGCAAGCACCGAGUUUUGGAGGAGCACUGUUCGUGUGGACUUGAUAGAGGCUUUGCUGCUUGCUGCUUGCUUUGCUGUGAUCGUGAUCCAGAUUCCAGCUUCAAUCUCAGUUUCACACUUCGAGGUAACAAUCGAAUCACUGAUUCAUGUGUAGUUCGUAAUGAUCCAAGGAAAGAAAAUCGAAAUUUUUCCGCUGCUUAUUUUGUAAUCGAUUCAUGUGUAGAAAUCGAUUUUCCUUCAGAUACUUUUUGGAGGAUGUCCGAGGUAAGAAAGAAAUAGAAUUUCUGGAGCUGCAGCAAGGAGAUAUGUCAGUAACGGAGUAUGCUGCAAGGUUUGUGGAGCUUGCUAAGUUUUAUCCACAUUACACCGCGGAGAGACCUGAGUUCUCCAAGUGUAUCAAAUUCGAGAAUCGUUUGAGAGCUGACAUCAAGAGAGCCAUUGGUUAUCAGAAGAUUAGAAACUUUUCUGAGUUGGUGAGUAGCUGUAGGAUUUAUGAGGAUGAUACCAAAGCCCAUUAUAAGGCUAGGGGUGAGCGGAGGAAUAAGGAUAAGAAUCGUUCUAAGCCGUACAGUACCCCAGGUGAACUUCGGUUGAAUGACGAGAUGAGGCCCAAGAGGGAAGAGACUCCUGUUGAAAUAGUUUGUUACAGAUGUGGUGAGAAAGGUCACAAGAGUAACACUUGUGCUGGUAAAGUGAAACGGUGUUUUCGUUGCGGUGAAAAGGCUCAUACUGAGGUAGAUUGCAAUCAUGAUGUUGUAGUUUGCUAUAACUGCAAGGAAGAAGGCCAUAUUAGUUCGCAAUGACAGAAGCCUAAGAAGGCCCAGACUGGUGUGAAGGUUUUUGCUUGGUGUAACGCCCUCUCUAAUUAUUUGAUUAUUUUAAAUGAGUUUAGAAUAUACUUAUAUGAUUUGUGUGAUUUAUAUGAUUUAUUUUGAUGAGUGAUAUUUUGUUAUGAUAUAUGUUAUAUAUUUAUUAAAAUAUUAUAUAUGUUAUUUGAUUUAGAAAUAUAUAUAUAUAUAUAUAUAUAUAUAUAUAUAUAUAUGCUAUUUGAUUUAAAAAUAUAAUAUAUGUUAUUUGAUUUAGGAAUGUAUAUAUGUCAUUUGUUAUAGAAAUAUAUACACGAUUUGUUGUAGAAAUAAAUGUGAUUUGUUAUAGAAAUAAAUGUUAUUUAUUGUAGAAAUAUGUAUGCUUUGUUGUAGAAAUAUAUAUAAUCUGUUAUAGAAAUAUGUAUGAUUUGUUAUGGAAAUAUAUAUAUAUAUAUAUAUAUAUAUAUAUAUAUAUAUAUGUUAUAGAGAUAUAAUUGUUAUUUAUUAUUGUUAUAGAAACAUUUUAUAUAUAUAUAUAUAUAUAUAUAUAUAUAUAUAUUGGGAUAGAAUAUUAAUAUUUGGAUUUAAGAGAAAAAUAAGUAGGUUAAAGAUUUAUAUAAAUAGGAGAGAACUAGUUUAGAAAAACAUAAGCUUUUGGAGAAAAGGGAGAAAAGCCAAGAGAAGAGGGAGAGACCUAGAGGGGCUGCGAUUUCCUGAUUAUAAGGUAAGGGUGAGACUAACUUUGCAAUUCUAUUAAGUAUGUGAAUCAAUGGUUAAGUUUAACAUGAAUUAGGAUGAGUUUAAGAAGAAUCGGAAAUUAGGUCAAAUUGAUAGAAUUGAUGAUUAAACGGUGGAAACUUGUUAAAAAGAUGUAGAAACUGCCCUUAGACCUUAAAUAAUGAUUUAGAUGAAUUCUGGAAUUGAAAUUAGGCUUAGAACCUUGUUAGAUGAUGAUUUUCGUGUAGAAAGUGCAUCAUGUUCGAGCCUAGAUUCAUCGCUCGCCACGGCGAGCUAUGAUCCUCGCCUCGCGAGUGAUGAUCUUCAUCGCUCGCCACGCGAGCCUUCCCCUUCGCCUCGCGAGUGUUUUGGUAUUGCUCGCCAUUGCGAGCAACCUUACUCGCCAUAGCGAGCUAAGGCAGAGAGCAUGUUAGAUUUUGUGUUUCGACCUUUUGAGUUGAACCUUAGAUGCCUUUGAGUACCUUUAGGUGCCUACUAUUGAUUAGAGAAUGAUUUAGAACGAGAUUGAACCUAGAACAACCUUAGUUGAAAAGUUGGCCUGUACUCGCCACGGCGAGCAGAUGCUCUCGCCCCGCGAGCACUUCCAGAAUUGAGUGUUUUUAGUGCAUUGUGAGACUUGAGUUGCUUGGAUUGGUUAGAAAUGAACUUUAGGUACAUAGUGUGACCUAUUAAAGAUAAUGAUUGUGAAUUGUGAAGCUAUAUUGAAAUGCUAAGUGUUUAUAAUGUGAUUUAUUGAUUGAUUGCAUUACUUGAAUUAUUAUUGAAUGAUCAGGAAGUUGUUGAAAAUGAAUUGGUAUUAAGCUGUUGAUAUAAUCUGAUUAUGCUGCUAUUGUUAUUUAACUAAGUUACAUGAGUUGUUGUUGAUUAUCAUUUGAUAUUGUUAUAUCCUGAGAUGUUUAUGUGUCGCCUAUGUUGCUGUUGUUGGUUAUGUGAAAUAUUUAUAUGCCUUAUGUGGAAGAUGUUUGAUGUUUAAUUAAUGCUUCACAUAAAUAUUGUUAUGUUGUGAAUUGCAAUUGAUAUAUUGAUAUCUCUCUAUUGUUGUGUGAUUUGACUGUGCUACUGCUGUUAUUUAACUAAGUGCAUGAUGUCUAUAUAUAUAUUAUGAAAUGAUGAUGUUUAGCUCCAAAUUAUUGGAUGCAUGAUGAUAUGUUGAUUGCGAUGAUUACGGUGUUUUGUUGUUAAGAGUCCAUGCAUAGCAUUUCAUUGAGCUUUGUCCUCACCACGAUUAGGAGCUUUGUCCUCCGCACGUUUUAGGAGCUUUGUCCUCCGCACGAUAAAAGUUUAUUAAUACUUAUGAUGACGAUUGGUACCACAUGCAUAUAAGUGUCUAAGUUGCAUUAUCGCAUAUGUCGAGUCAAGGUCGUUGUUGAUGAAUUAUCAUCCAUGAGUUGUUAAGUUGUCGAUGAAUUAUCAUCCAUGAGUUUGUCGAGUUGUGUUCUACCCAUGUGUUGUUGAAGAAGUACCUAUGAAGAUUAUACGAUGUGAAUUAUAUGAUGUUGACCAAAAUAUUGCUAUGUUGUUUAACAUGUUGUUUAUGAUAUUGUUAUGUUGCUACGUUGUUUAAGAUAUUGAUUAUGAUAUUGUUAUGUUGCUAUGUUGUUUAACAUGUUGAUUAUGAUACUGUUAUGUUGCUACAUUGUUUAAGAUAAUGAUUAUGAUAUUGUUAAGUUGUUAUGAUGUUGUGUAUAAUUGUUACUAUUAAGUGAUAAAUAUGUUGUUCUAUAUAUGAUUAAUAUUAUUAAGUGAAUAUUAUGUUAUGUUAUUGAUAAUGAUCGAAUGUUGUGAUUACUUGGUAAUUGUUUAUCAAAGAUGCUAUGAUGUUUAAGAUGAUAUUGUUUAAGAUGUUUAUGUUGAAGAUUUAUGAUGUUGAUUUUGGUGUUAGUAUGUGUUGAUUAUAUUUUCAUAAGAUGAUGAAUACCUUGUUGUUAUAUUAAUACAAGAAGAUGAAUAUGUUGUUGUUAUAUUAUUAUAUUAUGAAGAGAUGAUGUAUAUAUAAUUAUUAUUAUUAUUAAGUGAAUAUCAUGCUAUGUUGUUGUUAUAUUAUUAUAUUAUGAAGAGAUGAUGUAUAUAUAAUUAUUAUUAUUAUUAAGUGAAUAUCAUUCUAUGUUGUUGUUAUAUUAUUAUAUUAUGAAGAGAUGAUGUAUAUAUAAUUAUUAUUAUUAUUAAGUGAAUAUCAUGCUAUGUUGUUGUUAUAUUAUUAUAUUAUGACGAGAUGAUGUAUAUAUAAUUAUUAUUAUUAUUAAGUGAAUAUCAUGUUACGUUGUUGUUAUAUUAUUAUAAGAAGAUGUUUAUGUUAUGAUGUAGAUAAUUAUUACUAUUAAUAAGAGAUGAUUAUAUUGUGUUGUUUUAAAGUUAUUAGUGAUGAUGAUUACAUGAUGAUAUCUAUGAGUUGUUAAGUGUACUUGAUGAUGUUUAUGUUAAAUUGAUAAGUUGUCUUUUAUUAAUGAAUUGAUAAUGAGAUGUUUGAUGAAUAAUUAUUAUUAUGAAUUAAUGAUGUUGUUAUGCUAUAUAUGAACUAUGACUAUGAUGUGAUGAUCUAUGUUUGUUACGAUUUGGUUAAUAUGUGUUAAAUGAUAAUUAGAAGUUGGUUGAGUUAUUAAGAAUUAUUACAUGAAGAAUUAUUAUUACUAAUAGAUGAAGUUAUUUGUGUUGUUAAAUAUAAUUAUUGAAUUAUAUGCUUGAUAUUAUUGUUUUGUGAAAUCUCACCCCUUCAGUUUGAAAAUGUUGCUCUUCGUAUGAGUAACUUGCAGGUAUUAAUGAUUAGUAGGAGUGAUGGCUCAAGUGUCUUUAGGUGCUCUGAUACGUAACGGGAUGGGAAUUUGUUAUUGCUUUCUAUUCCUUACGUAUUGUUUCUGAAGAGUUAUGACUAUAUUUUUAGAAUGUAUUUUUAUGACAUAAUUGUAAAGAGUCUUUAGUGCCAAAGACUGUUUUGAUUAUUGAAUAAUUUCCGCUGCGAAGUAUUAAAGAUUUUUUAGUUAUUGAAUUUUAAAGGAUAAAUAGUUAUUUAUACAGUUUAUGAUUUUAAGAAAAGAAUGUGACAUUCCGUUUAGGUGAAUUACUCUGAUUAAAUAAAUGAAAUUUUCGCGUUGGAAAAACGGGGUGUUACAAUUGGUAUCAGAGCUGGUCGGUCUGUCCGGCCAAUUAGAAGAGUCGUGUCGAGUUUUAGUAAUAGUUAUAUUACUAUCUUUAUGCUAUUUGAUUAGUUGUUGUUGUGUUUCUAAUUAAUAGUUAUGUUUAUUAUGUGAUCAUGUUUGAUUGACUAACUUUGAUGUGGUUUGCAUGUUUUGUUGAUGUUUCUAUUUAACUAUAUAUGGUUUAGUAUGGUUAUACAAUAAUUGAGUUUAUUUCUUGUGUGUUUGAAUUUCGAGGACGAAAUUCUUUUAAGGGGUGGAGAGUUGUAACGCCCUCUCUAAUUAUUUGAUUAUUUUAAAUGAGUUUAGAAUAUACUUAUAUGAUUUGUGUGAUUUAUAUGAUUUAUUUUGAUGAGUGAUAUUUUGUUAUGAUAUAUGUUAUAUAUUUAUUAAUAUAAUAUAUAUGUUAAUUGAUUUAGAAAUAUAUAUAUAUAUAUAUAUAUAUAUAUGCUAUUUGAUUUAAAAAUAUAAUAUAAGUUAUUUGAUUUAGGAAUGUAUAUAUGUCAUUUGUUAUAGAAAUAUAUACACGAUUUGUUGCAGAAAUAAAUGUGAUUUGUUAUAGAAAUAAAUGUUAUUUAUUGUAGAAAUAUGUAUGCUUUGUUGUAGAAAUAUAUAUAAUCUGUUAUAGAAAUAUGUAUGAUUUGUUAUGGAAAUAUAUAUAUAUAUAUAUAUAUAUAUAUGUUAUAGAGAUAUAAUUGUUAUUUAUUAUUGUUAUAGAAACAUUAUAUAUAUAUAUAUAUAUAUAUAUAUAUAUAUAUAUAUUGGGAUAGAAUAUUAAUAUUUGGAUUUAAGAGAAAAAUAAGUAGGUUAAAGAUUUAUAUAAAUAGGAGAGACCUAGUUUAGAAAAACAUAACGUACGUACGACUGCUUUUGGAGAAAAGGGAGAAAAGCCAAGAGAAGAGGGAGAGACCUAGAGGGGCUGCGAUUUCCUGAUUAUAAGGUAAGGGUGAGACUAACUUUGCAAUUCUAUUAAGUAUGUGAAUCAAUGGUUAAGUUUAACAUGAAUUAGGAUGAGUUUAAGAAGAAUCGAAAAUUAGGUCAAAUUGAUAGAAUUGAUGAUUAAACGGUGGAAACUUGUUAAAAAGAUGUAGAAACUGCCCUUAGACCUUAAAUAAUGAUUUAGAUGAAUUCUGGAAUUGAAAUUAGGCUUAGAACCUUGUUAGAUGAUGAUUUUCGUGUAGAAAGUGCAUCAUGUCCGAGCCUAGACACAUCGCUCGCCACGGCGAGCUAUGAUCCUCGCCUCGCGAGUGAUGAUCUUCAUCGCUCGCCACGCGAGCCUUCCCCUUCGCCUCGCGAGUGUUUUGGUAUUGCUCGCCAUUGCGAGCAACCUUACUCGCCAUAGCGAGCUAAGGCAGAGAGCAUGUUAGAUUUUGUGUUUCGACCUUUUGAGUUGAACCUUAGAUGCCUUUAAGUACCUUUAGGUGCCUACUAUUGAUUAGAGAAUGAUUUAGAACGAGAUUGAACCUAGAACAACCUUAGUUGAAAAGUUGGCCUGUACUCGCCACGGCGAGCAGAUGCUCUCGCCCCGCGAGCACUUCCAGAAUUGAGUGUUUUUAGUGCAUUGUGAGACUUGAGUUGCUUGGAUUGGUUAGAAAUGAACUUUAGGUACAUAGUGUGACCUAUUAAAGAUAAUGAUUGUGAAUUGUGAAGCUAUAUUGAAAUGCUAAGUGUUUAUAAUGUGAUUUAUUGAUUGAUUGCAUUACUUGAAUUAUUAUUGAAUGAUCAGGAAGUUGUUGAAAAUGAAUUGGUAUUAAGCUGUUGAUAUAAUCUGAUUAUGCUGCUAUUGUUAUUUAACUAAGUUACAUGAGUUGUUGUUGAUUAUCAUUUGAUAUUGUUAUAUCCUGAGAUGUUUAUGUGUCGCCUAUGUUGCUGUUGUUGGUUAUGUGAAAUAUUUAUAUGCCUUAUGUGGAAGAUGUUUGAUGUUUAAGUUGUUGAUGCUUCACAUUAAUAUUGUUAUGUUGUGAAUUGCAAUUGAUAUAUUGAUAUCUCUCUAUUGCUGUGUGAUUUGACUGUGCUACUGCUGUUAUUUAACUAAGUGCAUGAUGUCUAUAUAUAUAUAUUAUGAAAUGAUGACGUUUAGCUCCAAAUUAUUGGAUGCAUGAUGAUAUGUUGAUUGCGAUGAUUACGGUGUUUUGUUGUUAAGAGUCCAUGCAUAGCAUUUCAUUGAGUUUUGUCCUCACCACGAUUAGGAGCUUUGUCCUCCGCACGUUUUAGGAGCUUUGUCCUCCGCACGAUAAAAGUAUAUUAAUACUUAUGAUGACGAUUGGUACCACAUGCAUAUAAGUGUCUAAGUUGCAUUAUCGCAUAUGUCGAGUCAAGGUCGUUGUUGAUGAAUUAUCAUCCAUGAGUUGUUAAGUUGUCGAUGAAUUAUCAUCCAUGAGUUUGUCGAGUUGUGUUCUACCCAUGUGUUGUUGAAGAAGUACCUAUGAAGAUUAUACGAUGUGAAUUAUAUGAUGUUGACCAAAAUAUUGCUAUGUUGUUUAACAUGUUGAUUAUGAUAUUGUUAUGUUGCUACGUUGUUUAAGAUAUUGAUUAUGAUAUUGUUAUGUUGCUAUGUUGUUUAACAUGUUGAUUAUGAUACUGUUAUGUUGCUACAUUGUUUAAGAUAAUGAUUAUGAUAUUGUUAAGUUGUUAUGAUGUUGUGUAUAAUUGUUACUAUUAAGUGAUGAAUAUGUUGUUCUAUAUAUGAUUAAUAUUAUUAAGUGAAUAUUAUGUUAUGUUAUUGAUGAUGAUCGAAUGUUGUGAUUACUUGGUAAUUGUUUAUCAAAGAUGCUAUGAUGUUUAAGAUGAUAUUGUUUAAGAUGUUUAUGUUGAAGAUUUAUGAUGUUGAUUUUGGUGUUAGUAUGUGUUGAUUAUAUUUUCAUAAGAUGAUGAAUACGUUGUUGUUAUAUUAAUACGUUGUUGUUAUAUUAAUACAAGAAGAUGAAUAUGUUGUUGUUAUAUUAUUAUAUUAUGAAGAGAUGAUGUAUAUAUAAUUAUUAUUAUUAUUAAGUGAAUAUCAUGCUAUGUUGUUGUUAUAUUAUUAUAUUAUGAAGAGAUGAUGUAUAUAUAAUUAUUAUUAUUAUUAAGUGAAUAUCAUGCUAUGUUGUUGUUAUAUUAUUAUAUUAUGAAGAGAUGAUGUAUAUAUAAUUAUUAUUAUUAUUAAGUGAAUAUCAUGCUAUGUUGUUGUUAUAUUAUUAUAUUAUGACGAGAUGAUGUAUAUAUAAUUAUUAUUAUUAUUAAGUGAAUAUCAUGUUACGUUGUUGUUAUAUUAUUAUAAGAAGAUGUUUAUGUUAUGAUGUAGAUAAUUAUUACUAUUAAUAAGAGAUGAUUAUAUUGUGUUGUUUUAAAGUUAUUAGUGAUGAUGAUUACAUGAUGAUAUCUAUGAGUUGUUAAGUGUACUUGAUGAUGUUUAUGUUAUAUUGAUAAGUUGUCUUUUAUUAAUGAAUUGAUAAUGAGAUGUUUGAUGAAUAAUUAUUAUUAUGAAUUAAUGAUGUUGUUAUGCUAUAUAUGAACUAUGACUAUGAUGUGAUGAUCUAUGUUUGUUACGAUUUGGUUAAUAUGUGUUAAAUGAUAAUUAGAAGUUGGUUGAGUUAUUAAGAAUUAUUACAUGAAGAAUUAUUAUUACUAAUAGAUGAAGUUAUUUGUGUUGUUAAAUAUAAUUAUUGAAUUAUAUGCUUGAUAUUAUUGUUUUGUGAAAUCUCACCCCUUCAGCUUGAAAAUGUUGCUCUUCGUAUGAGUAACUUGCAGGUAUUAAUGAUUAGUAGGAGUGAUGGCUCAAGUGUCUUUAGGUGCUCUGAUACGUAACGGGAUGGGAAUUUGUUAUUGCUUUCUAUUCCUUACGUAUUGUUUCUGAAGAGUUAUGACUAUGUUUUUAGAAUGUAUUUUUAUGACAUAACUGUAAAGAGGCUUUAGUGCCAAAGACUGUUUUGAUUAUUGAAUAAUUUCCGCUGCGAAGUAUUAAAGAUUUUUUAGUUAUUGAAUUUUAAAGGAUAAAUAGUUAUUUAUACAGUUUAUGAUUUUAAGAAAAGAAUGUGACAUUCCGUUUAGGUGAAUUACUCUGAUUAAAUAAAUGAAAUUUUCGCGUUGGAAAAACGGGGUGUUACACUUGGACUGGUACGCAGACGAUGCACGAAGGAUCGCUUGAUUAGAGGUAUAUUUUUGAGGACGAAAAUUCUUAAGUUGGGGAGAGUUGUAUCGCCCGAAUUUUAUUUAAUUAUUAUUGGUCGAUUGAAAGUCUUUUUAUAUAUGAUUUUAUAUUAUUAUGUGGUGUGUUAUAUUUUAUUAAAUGAGUUAUGUUACUAUUUAAUAGAAUAAGUGGGAAUUUAGAAUAUUUGGAGUUCAAGGGGCUGAUUUAGAAAUAAGGAGAAUUGAGGGGGAUUAAGUGGGAAUAGAAAAAGUUGGAUUAGGUUUAGAAAGGAAACUAGAAAGGGAGAAUUAGUCAGAAAAACAUUUUCACGUGGAAGCAGCUUUUGGGAGAAAAACCAAGAGGGAGCCAAGAGUAUCCAAGAGAAGAUCGUGUAGAGCUUUGUUCAUCAAUCUAAGGUAAAGGUGGGACUAUCAUUCAGUGAUCUUAAGUCUAUAAUUCUGAAAUUGGAUUUAUCAUGUAAGUUGUUCUUGAUUUGAGAAUUUGAGAAUUAGGGUUAAAAGUGAUAAUUUGGUGAUUAGAUGUUGAAAACGUGUUGAAUUAAUGUAGAAACUGUGUACAUACCUUAGAUAAUGCAUAGGAUGAUGAUUUGAAUCAGUUUUAAGGAUAGAACUAUGGGAUUGGGUGAUUUUUAUGAAAAUCUGCGUUUCUGCCCGAGCUGAGAUUCAUCGCUCGCCCUCGCGAGCAACAAGCCUCGCCUCGCGAGUGAACCCAGAUGUUGCUCGCCACUGCGAGCAAGACACUCGCCAUAGCGAGUUGACCAGUGAGGUCAUCAUGAUUUUGUGAAUUAACGUUGUUGGUCAAGUCUUAGAUGGUUUUGAGUGCCGGAAUGUGUAUAAGAAUGAUUAGGCAGUUUUUAGAAUGAAAUUCAUUAUGGAGAAGUUAAAAAUGAGAUUUUUUGUGUGAAAAAGGUGAAGUUCCCGAGAGCACCCUGAUUUUAUUCGCCAAGGCGAGUAGCUGGUUCGCCAAAGCGAACAGCCAACUUUUGUGAACUCGCCAUAGCGAGUAGAGGCGCUCGCCUCGCGAGCCUUUGAGUGUCAGACAACAUUGUUUAGGGUUUUUGCGAUCUUUGUCGCACGAGAUACUAUGAGAUGAUCCUUGGGUUAAGAUAAAGAAUUAUUAAAAUAUUGUUGAUGUUCAGUGAGUCUGAUAUAAGAUGGUUGAGGGUGUUAAUAUUAUGGUAAAUUUGCCAAUGCAUUAUGUGGAUUAUGUAUGAUGUUUAAGUAGUGUUGAUUAUCAUUUGGUAUUGUCAUCUUUUGGGAUGUCUAUGUGCUACUAGUGUUGUUGUUGGAUCUUAAUUAAGAUGUAAAUGUUGGUCUAAAUUGUAAGCGUUGUUGGGUUGUAAGUUGCCGAAUAAGUCAUAAGUAAGUUAUGCAAAUUGUCGAUGUUGUCAUCAUCGUUGGUGUUGUUGUUGAAGUCGUAGUUGUAUCCGUUGUUGGUGAUUGUUUAUGUUAGAUGUUUUUAUAAGAGGUGGUGUACUCUUACUUUGUCGGCUUUAUAAGAGGUGGUGUACUCUUACUUGUCGUUUUUAUAAGAGGUGGUGUACUCUUACUUUAUCGUUUUUAUAAGAGGUGGUGUACUCUUACUUGUCGUUUUUAUAAGAGGAGGUGUACUCUUACUUUAUCGUUUUUAUAAGAGGUGGUGUACUCUUACUUUGUUGUUGUUUAUAAGAGGUGGUGUACUCUUACAUUGUUUAUGUUGAUGAGUAUGACGAGGUUAUGAUGAUUUUUUAUAGGGUUGAAUGUGAGGUUGUUAUGAUAUUACAUGAUGUUACCUAUGAGUUGUUAAAUGUACUUGAUGAGGGUUAUGUUAAGUUGAUAAGUUGUCUUCUAUUCAUGAGCACUAAGGGGAUGUUAAGAAGAAUUAUUAUUGAGUGUAUAUGAUGAUGUCUAUGUUGUUAACUGUAAUUGAUGAAUUAUAUGCUUAUUAUUAUUGUUUGAGAAAUCUCACCCCUUCUGCUUGGAAAUGUUGCCCUUCGUAUGGAUAACUUGCAGGUAAUUGAAGAUUAGUAGGAGUGGGGGCUCAAGUGUCUAGGGCUCUGAUACGUACGGGAUGAGAUUUCUUAUUGUUUUUCAUUCCUUAUGUAUCACAUUUUUGGAUUAUGCUGAUGUAGCCCUUAUUUGGUUGUUGAAUUAAUUGAUGGGGCAUUUAUGUCAAGACUUUUAUUGAAGAAUUAAUAUGUUGGAUGUUGUGGUUAUUUAAUUUUGAGAAAAUAUUUCCGCUGCAAAAUUGUUGUCGUUUUAUGAAGGAUAUUUUAUUAAAUAGUUUUAUAUUCUAUUUAAGAAAAUUUUGAAAGUAGUGUGACAUGCCCGUUUGAGAUUUACUCUAAUGAUUAUUUAAUAUUUAAUUGCUUUUGGGUAACGGGGUGUUACAAUUGGUAUCAGAGCAGGUUGGUCCGUCCGGCCAAGUAGUAGAGUCGUGUUGAGAGUGUCAACUCUAAACUGUCUUUUGUUAUUCUGAUUGUUGUUUGUGGUUUAGUGUUUUGAGAUGGCUGGGAGAAAUGAUGCUGCUAUUGCUGCUGCACUUGAGGCUGUAGCUCGAGCUGUAGAACAACAUCCACAAGUUGGUGCUGGUAACGACGGAGUAAGAAUGUUGGAGACUUUCUUGAGGAAUCAUCCACCAACAUUCAAGGGAAGGUACGACCCUGAUGGAGCUCAGAAGUGGCUCAAAGAAACUGAGAGGAUCUUCAGAGUGAUGCAGUGUAGUGAGGUGCAGAAGGUGCGGUUCGGCACGCACAUGGUAGCUGAGGAAGCUGAUGACUGGUGGGUUAGUCUUCUACCUGUCCUAGAGCAAGAUGGUGUUGUUAUUACUUGGGCUGUAUUUAGGAGAGAAUUUUUGAGUAGAUACUUUCUGGACGAUGUCCGAGGUAAGAAAGAAAUAGAAUUUCUAGAGCUGAAGCAAGGAGAUAUGUCAGUAACGGAGUAUACUGCAAGGUUUGUGGAGCUUGCUAAGUUUUAUCCACAUUACACCGCGGAGACAGCUGAGUUCUCCAAGUGUAUCAAAUUCGAGAAUGGCUUGAGAGCUAACAUCAAGAAAGCCAUUGGUUAUCAGAAGAUUAUAAACUUUUUUAAUUUGGUGAGUAGCUGAAGGAUUUAUGAGGAUGAUACCAAAGCCCAUUAUAAGGCUAGGGGUGAGCGGAUGAAUAAGGAUAAGAAUCGUUCUAAGCCGUACAGUACCCCGGGUUAACUUAGGUUGAAUGACGAGAGGAGGCCCAAGAGGGAAGAGACUCUUGUUGAAAUAGUUUGUUACAGAUGUGGUGAGAAAGGUCACAAGAGUAACACUUGUGCUGGUAAAGUGAAACGGUGUUUCCGUUGCGGUGAAAAGGGUCAUACUGAGGUAGAUUGCAAUCAUGAUGAUGUAGUUUGCUAUAACUGCAAGGAAGAAGGUCAUAUUAGUUCGCAGUGCAAGAAGCCUAAGAAGGCCCAGACUGGUGUGAAGGUUUUUGCUUUGACUGGUACGCAGACAAUGCACGAAGGAUCGCUUGAUUAGAGGUAUAUUUUCAAGGACGAAAAUUCUUAAGUUGGGGAGAGUUGUAACGCCCCAAUUUUAUUUAAUUAUUAUUGGUCGAUUUAACGUCUUUUUAUAUAUGAUUUUAUAUUAUUAUGUGGUGUGUUAUAUUUUAUUAAAUGAGUUAUGUUACUAUUUAAUAGAAUAAGUGGGAAUUUAGAAUAUUUGGAGUUCAAGGGGCUGAUUUAGAAAUAAAGAGAAUUGAGGGGGAUUAAGUGGGAAUAGAAAAAGUUGGAUUAGGUUUAGAAAGGAAACUGGAAAGGGAGAAUUAGUCAGAAAAACAUUUUCACGUGGAAGCAGCUUUUGGGAGAAAAACCAAGAGGGAGCCAAGAGUAUCCAAGAGAAGAUCGUGUAGAGCUUUGUUCACCAAUCUAAGCUAAGGGUGGGACUAUCAUUCAGUGAUCUUAAGUCUAUAAUUCUGAAAUUGGAUUUAACAAGUAAGUUGUUCUUGAUUUGAGAAUUUGAGAAUUAGGGUUAAAAGUGAUAAUUUGGUGAUUAGAUGGUGAAAACGUGUUGAAUUAAUGUAGAAACUGUGUACAUGAAGUUGAAGUAAAUGUCACUAGAAGGGGGGGUUGAAUAGUGACCCUUUAAAAAUUUCUUUGUACUCUUAGAGAGUUUGAACUCUCAAGACUUUGCUUGGAGUAGGUUGAUUAGUAAAACAAUAAAUAAAUAUGUAAUACUAAAAUAAACAAAGCAGAAAGUAAAGAGUAGAGUUUAAGAGAGAUCACACAGAGAAGUUAUCCUGGUUCCCCCAAUAUGGGUUAGUCCAGUCCCCACAGCUUUUGUGAGAUUAUCCACUAAUUCUUGGGAGUUUCUUCCUCCUCUUUGCAAUGUGCAAAAUAAUAUGUAUUCUCUAAGCCUCACCAGGCUUACACUGACUCUCGAGCUCUCUCUGAGCUUGAGGCUAAAACAACUAUGUAUUCUCUAAGCCUCACCAGGCUUACACCACUGAUAUUAUUAGCUUCAGCAGGCUUACAGUAUCACUCAAGAUUUUACAGGCUUGAUGAUAUACAAUCAAAAUGUGAUUUGAUGUUUGGAUCUAAUUACAACUUUCAAACUUAAGAGAAUGAGAGAUUGUAGUUUGUAAUACUCUUAGAAAGAUGAUCCGAAAAUCUGAUUUGGUUCUGUAAGAGUAUUUCUGAUAUUGAGAUUGAUUGAUGAAUUUAUUGCUUGUAAGUAGGCUUGUGAUUGUAUUGGAAAUUCAUGCUUUCUUUGUUGAGAGAAAGCUUCUAUUUAUAGCCAUCCUUCAUCCUUCAAUAUCUGCAACUGUUCAUUCUUGUGUAGACGCCCUUGCUGUUGAUAGGAAUUGCAAAACUGCCAUUGUCCCAUCUUUUGUACGUUGAGUUUUGAGCUUGCCAGCCUCGGCCUCAACUUUUAAUACUAAGAGCUUGAGCUCGAGCUUGAGCUUGAAAUGGACCAGGAGCGUGUGUGAACAGUGAAAAGUACAUGAACAGUGAAAAUAUAUUUUCUUUUUACUACUGUUUGUAUCUUGUUCUCCAAGAUGCAUCAUUGUCAUUGUCCUUGCAAAGCUUUGUCUCCAAGAUACCAUUUAUAAAUUAUAUUUCCAUACUUGGUCACCAAGUCAUUGUACUUUAUGUCUUUUUGCUUGCUUGCUCAUCAAGAUACAUAAUAGGGCUUAUGUCAUCAUGCUUAUGUCAUCAUGCCUUUCUUUUCCAAAUGAUUAGCACAUGAUUGAAAGGCAAUUUUCCCUUGCAUUUGCGCAUGGUUCUCUUUGUGAAGCUUUCUUGGAUUAAAUCAUUUAAUUACCCUUUAAUAGUGAACACAUAUUCUUCUUGAGAGCUUGACCUUGAAACUCCAAUGAUACAUGGCUUUAACAAUGUGUGAGAAUUGGACUUUCUUAUCCUUAACAAAAUUCACUCAAGAGCACACAUUAAAUAACAAAAUAACAUUAUAAUCUUAAUUUUAAUACAAGAGUUUGUUUAUCAUUUAAAAACAAGUUCAAAGGGAUUUUUGCUUCAACAGUACAGACCUUAGAUAAUGCAUAAGAUGAUGAUUUGAAUCAGUUUUAAGGAUAGAACCAUGGGAUUGGGUGAUUUUUAUGAAAAUCUGCGUUUCUGCCCGAGCUGAGAUUCAUCGCUCGCCCUCGCGAGCAACAAGCCUCGCCUCGCGAGGGAUGAUCUUCAUCGCUCGCUUCGCGAGCCGUUUUCUCUCGCCUCGCGAGUGAACCCAGAUGUUGCUGGCCACUGCGAGCAAGACACUCGCCAUAGCGAGUUGACCAGUGAGGUCAUCAUGAUUUUGUGAAUUAACGUUGUUGGUCAAGUCUUAGAUGGUUAUGAGUGCCGGAAUGUGUAUAAGAAUGAUUAGGCAGUUUUUAGAAUGAAAUUCAUUAUGGAGAAGUUAAAAAUGAGAUUUUUUGUGUGAAAAAGGUGAAGUUCCCGAGAGCACCCUGAUUUUAUUCGCCAAGGCGAGUAGCUGGUUCGCCAAAGCGAACAGCCAACUUUUGUGAACUCGCCAUAGCGAGUAGAGGCGCUCGCCUCGCGAGCCUUUGAAUGUCAGACAACCUUGUUUAGGGUUUUUGCGAUCUUUGUCGCACGAGAUACUAUGAGAUGAUCCUUGGGUUAAGAUAAAGAAUUAUUAAAAUAUUGUUGAUGUUCAGUGAGUCUGAUAUAAGAUGGUUGAGGGUGUUAAUAUUAUGGUAAAUUUGCCAAUGCAUUAUGUGGAUUAUGUAUGAUGUUUAAGUAGUGUUGAUUAUCAUUUGGUAUUGUCAUCUUUUGGGAUGUCUAUGUGCUACUAGAGUUGCUAUUGGAUCUUAAUUAAGAUGUAAAUGUUGGUCUAAAUUGUAAGCGUUGUUGGGUUGUAAGUUGCCGAAUAAGUCAUAAGUAAGUUAUGCAAAUUGUCGAUGUUGUCAUCAUCGUUGGUGUUGUUGUUGAAGUCGUAGUUGUAUCCGUUGUUGGUGAUUGUUUAUGUUAGAUGUUUUUAUAAGAGGUGGUGUACUCUUACUUUGUCGGCUUUAUAAGAGGAGGUGUACUCUUACUUGUCAUUUUUAUAAGAGGUGGUGUACUCUUACUUUAUCGUUUUUAUAAGAGGUGGUGUACUCUUACUUGUCGUUUUUAUAAGAGGAGGUGUACUCUUACUUUAUCGUUUUUAUAAGAGGUGGUGUACUCUUACUUUGUUGUUGUUUAUAAGAGGUGGUGUACUCUUACAUUGUUUAUGUUGAUGAGUAUGACGAGGUUAUGAUGAUAUUUUAUAGGGUUGAAUGUGAGGUUGUUAUGAUAUUACAUGAUGUUACCUAUGAGUUGUUAAAUGUACUUGAUGAGGGUUAUGUUAAGUUGAUAAGUUGUCUUCUAUUCAUGAGCACUAAGGGGAUGUUAAGAAGAAUUAUUAUUGAGUGUAUAUGAUGAUGUCUAUGUUGUUAACUGUAAUUGAUGAAUUAUAUGCUUAUUAUUAUUGUUUGAGAAAUCUCACCCCUUCUGCUUGGAAAUGUUGCCCUUCGUAUGGAUAACUUGCAGGUAAUUGAAGAUUAGUAGGAGUGGGGGCUCAAGUGUCUAGGGCUCUGAUACGUACGGGGUGGGAUUUCUUAUUGUUUUUCAUUCCUUCUGUAUCACAUUUUUGGAUUAUGCUGAUGUAGCCCUUAUUUGGUUGUGGUUAUUUAAUUUUGAGAAAAUAUUUCCGCUGUAAAAUUGUUGUCGUUUUAUGAAGGAUAUUUUAUUAAAUAGUUUUAUAUUCUAUUUAAGAAAAUUUUGAAAGUAGUGUGACAUGCCCGUUUGAGAUUUACUCUGAUGAUUAUUUAAUAUUUAAUUGCUUUUGGGUAACGGGGUGUUACAAUUGGUAUCAGAGCAGGUUGGUCCGUCCGGCCAACUAGUAGAGUCGUGUUGAGAGUGUCAACUCUAAACUGUCUUUUGUUAUUCUGAUUGUUGUUUGUGGUGUAGUGUUUUGAGAUGGCUGGGAGAAAUGAUGCUGCUAUUGCUGCUGCACUUGAGGCUGUAGCUCGAGCUGUAGAACAACAUCCACAAGUGGGUGCUGGUAACGACGGAGUAAGAAUGUUGGAGACUUUCUUGAGGAAUCAUCCACCAACAUUCAAGGGAAGGUACGACCCUGAUGGAGCUCAGAAGUGGCUCAAAGAAACUGAGAGGAUCUUCAGAGUGAUGCAGUGUAGUGAGUGAAGUAGAUAAAAUAGUCACAAGGAAGGGGGGGUUUGAAUUGUGACCCUUUAAAAAUUAACCUGAAACUUAAAAGUGAUUCUCAAGUAGUUUACUUGGAAUAGUUAAGUUAAUAUUCUGACUUCAGAACGUUCUGAAGUUCAUACACAUAAACAGUUUAAUAAAGUAAAUGUGUAAGUGUGUGUUGUGUAUACUGUAAUUAAAGAGUAUAGGGAAGAGAGAAAGAACACACAGAAAUUUAUAGUGGUUCACCCAAUGUGGGUUAGUCCACUCCUCACAAUCUUGUGAGAGUUUCCACUAUGAUGCUUGAGAUAACCUCUCAAAUCCUGCACCUUACAAUCUUGUUCACCUGAACAAUUACAAUCCUGUAUUCUCUAAGCCUCAGCAGGCUUGCACCUUCUUGCUAAGUUAACCACUUAGACUUUUACAACCUUUGCUCAACCUAACACUUUAGGACCUCUAAAAGUUAGAUGAGACUUUGUUACAAUUUGUAUGGAGCUUGAAUGAAUGAAAUCAGACAAGAGAAGAAAGGAAGGAAGUGUUAUCUUUAAAGAGAUAACAGAAAGAAUUGAUUUACACUACAAGAAGAUAUUAAAGAAUCUUCAGUGAUGAUCAAUUCAGAUGCUAAAGCUUCAAAACAACCUCAAGUUGUUUUUCUUGUAUGCUUUUCAAUUUGUGUGGAGUUUGAAUGUUUGAGAAUCAAACAGAGGAGGAGGAGGAAGAAAGUUAUCUUUGCAUGAGAUAACAAAGAGUAUUGAUGUGCACUAAGGAAACAAGAGCCUUAGAGAUUGAUCAAUUUCAAUUGCAAGAGCUUCAAACAAAAUCAAGUUGUUUUCUUGUGUGCUUUGCAAUGGUGCAAGUUUUGCUAAGGCCAAGCCCUCUAUUUAUAGAGUCCUUGGGCUCAUAUAGCCGUUGUAGGGUGUCCAAUGGUGUUAUGCCAUGUGUCCUGGGUCCCACAAGCUUUAACUUGAAAUUCUGGGCAAACAUUCUGAUCUCUGAUGAACAUCAGAAUGUUGUUGUGUUCAUGAUGAUCUUCAUCUGGGUUCAUCACGUUCUUCAUCUGGGUUCAUCAUGUAUGAAUGAACACAUGAAGUUCUGGGCUAUGCAUAUGCUUUUCAUAUGAAUUUCUGGACAAUAACCAAUGUAUGGACUUUUCUUCAUACAUCAGAAUGUUCCUUUCCCAGAUUUUGUCUUGGAACCGGUGCAGGAGGAUUUAGUGGGAUUCUGCAUCUUCAUGCCCAUGCUUUGAGAGAUUGUGUUGUCCUUGUUCAGUACCAACUCUCAGACGUGUCUAUCUCUUGUUGAAGAUGAUAGAUUUGCUUUGCUUUUGCUUUUUGCUUUUCACCUACUAUACUGUUCAUAAAGUAAGCAUGAGCUGAGCUUGAACAUUCUGAUCAUCAGAAUGUUCCAUCUGUUUCACAUAGGAUGAUUUGUAAGACUAUCAUUUGAUGUAAUCAAAUCCUAAUAGUGAAACAGUAAUGAAGAGCAGUGAUAAUAACAUCUAGGAUGAUAUUCCUUUGUGAAAUAUUCCUAGUACAUCAAUGUUCAUAGUCUUAAAUGAACAUUGAAUGCCUUCUUUGACAUAACUCUUGUAUAUGCCUUUAUUGCUUGAUUGAUCCAUGCAAAUGUACUUUCCUGGACAUAUAUUCAUGUCACAUGUGCCUUGCAUGAUCUUGAUCACAGUUCUUGAGAUUCUUGGCUUGUAUAAGAACAACCUUCUGAACUGGAUUGCUUCUGAACAACCUUCUGAACUAGGUUGCUUCUGAACUGGUUGCUUCUGAACUUGGUUGCUUCUGAACUUGGUUGCUUCUGAACAUUCUGAUCUUCGAGCAACAUUCUGAUCUAACUUUCUGACCUCAGUGUUAGAUCAUGAAUUCAAAUGUCCUUUGAUUUCUUGAUUCUUGGUAUGAUUCAAACCUUGUUCCUGUCUUAGUAAAACACUCAAGAGCACAAGUUAAAUACCAAGAAAUUAAUCAAAGUCCAUUAAUUCUUUAUUCAUAUUUGUUUAUUAUCUUUAAAAUUAAUUAGGGAUUUUGCCUCAACAAUCUCCCCCUUUUUGAAGAUGAUAAACUUAUGAUUUAGGAUUAAGGAUUUUGAUUAUAUAACAGAGCUAAAAAAUUUAUUUUAAUGUUCCCCCUCAUUUUUAUAAUCCAUUAUGCAGAGUUUUUAAGAACUUUAAAAAGCUCCCCCUCAAUUUCAUAAUCUUUUGCAUAAAGUAAAAAUAUGCAAGACUGAACCAAAUUCAAUAUUUGAUAUAACAUGAAGUACAUUACAUGAAAAGAUGGUUCAAAAACAAAAAAGAAAAUCAAAGUGCAUGUGAUCAAGAAAAGCAAAAGAUGGAAUUUAUAAAUUCCAAUAUCAAUUGAUCACCUAGACCUACUUAGGGCCUAUAACUAAAAAAAACUUAAAGACUUUGAAUCCUAAAGCUUCUCCCCCUUUUGUCAUCUGCAAAAUGGAUAGGGAUGAUUUCUGAAAAGAUUCAUGGAGUGGAGUCUCCAGAAUCAGAAGAGGGUUCUGCUUCAAAGAUGGAGGGGUCAUCAAAUACUGGAGGUGGAAUGGCCAAACCAGGAGCAUGGACUUUGACAGUCCAGUCAGCCAGCACACAAGCAAUUUUGUGGGUCUUGGUGGAGACUCUAAGUGCCCUUGAGGCUAUCUUCUCUGCUCUUGAAGGCUUAGCAGGUUCAGCAGGACCAGAGGCUUCAGCUUGCUCUCUGUUUGCAGACACAAAGGUGUUGAGAGAGUCAAAUAAAGCAGCCAUGUUUGGAAGUUUGCUUCUUGUGGUGGUCUUCAUUUGUGGUGGUGGUGGAGUGGAUGAAGGAAUGAAAGGUGGAGUAGGAAGGUCAGAGACCAAGAAGUUGGUAGCACCUGCAACAGAAUCCAUGGUGGAGGAUGAUGGGUUAACAUUCUGACCAUUUUGGGCCAUGAGCUGUACCUCCUCAGAGGGCAGAGAUCCUGAUGCCAAAGGCAUGGGAUCAACUGACAGCUGGCCAUCUGGAGGAAGUUCAUUUGAGGCAUGCUGAUCAUCAAGCUCUUGAUUGUCUUGAUCAGCCAUGACAUGAAUAUCUUCAUCAUUCUGGGCUUCAGUUACUGCAACAUUCUGACGGGCAGAAGUUUCAACCUUCUGAACAUUCUGAACAGCAGGAAUUUCAACAUUCUGACCUUCUUGAGCUUGCUGAGUUGUUUCUUGUCCAUCUUGAAACACUUCACUAUUGAAGUCAGUGUUGAUAUCUUCAAUAUUGAGAUCAAAUCCAGUUGAGAACUCCACAUCUUGAGCUUCUUCUUCAAUGUUCAUAUUUGAAGCUAAGAGCUCAGCCACUUCCUGAGUUUCUCCAUCAACAUUCUGAGUACCAAACUCAGUAUUUUCUUCAACUCUUUGAUCAUCAGGAUUGGAAGCAGCAUCUUGAGGGAUUUCUUCACUUUCCUCAGCUUGAUUGACUUUCUCAGCUUCUUUUUGAAGAGAUGCAUCAUCAACCUUCUGAGCAUCAUCUUCUCCAAUCAAGGUUUUGAACUGCGAGCUUCCUUCUUCAACAAUCUCCUUUGCAAGCUUGGAGACUUCAGAGAACAAAUUUUCUGCUGGUGGAGAGGGAGUUUUGGUAUCUGUAAUCUCUUCAACCCUUCUUUUCUUCACAGCUUUCUGAACAUUCUGAUCAGAAUUUCUUUUACCAGAUCCAGAGGGUCCAGAAGUUUUGGAGGCUGGCAUGUUGGAUGAAGUAAUAUGGAGUUGACCUAAGGUCUUGGAAGAAAAGGUCAUAAAAUCCAGCUUGCGUUUCUCUCCUUCAAGGGGCACUUUUGCCUUUUGAAAAAUGGAAGUGAGAUGCAUUCCAUAGGGUAGUCCAGCAGAUGUUUGUUUUAUGGCUAGGCAUGAAUCAAUCAUGUGUUGAAUAAUGAUAAAACACAGAUUUAACUUAAUCUUUUUCAUGAGAUGGUAGAUGAAACAAAGAUCUAUGUCAGAGACAAGUUCAAAAGAUCCACAUCUAGGUAAAAGACAAUGCCUAAUCAUGUUGUGAAGAAUUUUGGGAGUAUCUUCCAGGUUUGUGGAGUUAAAGGUGUGAUUUUCUUUGGUGUAUUUAACUAUGAGUUUGUUACGGUUAACUCUAGACUCAUCAAACCAGAAGCUAGAGUAUAGCUGAUUACCUUCAUUUGGAAUUUUGAAUGCUUCAGAGACAAAUUCCUGAGUCAUCUUGAUCUUUACACCUUUGACUGAUGAUAUGAGAAACUUCUCAUUUCCAUUCUUCUUUUCCUGAACUGAUAGGUUGGUGUAGAACUCUCUGACCAAGUCUUCAUAGGUGUGUUCUUGAAGAGUUAUGAAGUUGGUCCAUCCUUGAGGUUCAGUGAACUCCUUCAUAUUCCAUGCCUUGGUUUCCAGACUUUCAAGGUUGAAAUACUUGGUUCUGCUCAUAGGUCUGAGAGCAAUUUUCUCAGCCCUAGAUGCUUUUAAGGUAGCAGCAAGUUUGGUAAUAUCUUUACCUUUCCCAUGCUUCUUAGAAGAGCCUUGCUCUUCUUCUUUUUCAGCCUUUUCUUCAGAUUCUUCCUCUUCACUUUCUUCUUCAUCUUCAGAGGUCUUUUCCUCAGAUAAGGGCAUAGCUUCAGCAGCAAUCUCCUUCCUCCUUUGAAGUAUUUUCUUUGUAAGUUCCUUAUCCCUUUUUGAGGAAGCUUUUACUGAUUUCAUUGCGUCAGAAAGAGUUUGUUCAGAGUCUUCAUCCUCUUCUUCUGGAUCUUCCUCUGUUUCAUCCUCAGAGUCUUCAUCAUCACUUGAAUCUUCUUUUUCUUCGUCAGAAUCUAGAUUCACGUGAGAUACCUUUGGUUUCUUCAAAGGUUUCUUCAUCCUUGUUGAUCGUCUGGUAGGUAUUGGUCUGGGUUUGAUGAUGGGUUUCUUAGAGGAUCUGGUUUUGGAAGAUUUGGGAUUUUCAGAAGCAGGAAUGAUUACGUCCUGAAGAAUGGUGCGUACAGGGGUUUCACUCAAAAGUUGUUGAUCAGAGGUUUGAUCAGCAGCAGUGUUGGAUGGUGGUGGUUGACAAUGUUCUUCAGAAAGUCUUGGGGUAGUUUUGGUUCUAGCCAUUUUUUCAGAAAAUGAAGAACAGAGCAGUUUGAAUUUUUUUGCGAGGAGAGAGAUGAGAGGUUAGGAAAUGAGAUGGAAGUGAAAUAAUCAGAGUUGGUAACUGAUUAUAUAGACAAAACGUGCAAGAGAAAAAGAAUAGUAGUGAUAUGAUGACAGUUAGCAUUGGGAAGGAUGAAAAACUGUCAAAAAGCAACGCCUUGGAGAGAGAAAGGAAAAAGUAGCCGUUUGGGAAGAUGAAUGGAUUUGGGAUGAUUUGAUGGUUAAGCCAUUUCAUGGUGGUUAAACCUUAAACAUGACUUCUUAUAACCAAGCAUUAAAUGCUUAAGAUUAUGGAGGGAUUUUUUGAAUAAGUCAAAACAAGAUCUCACGCAUGAGAUUGUUUGACCCAGAAUUUGGGUUCUAAAAAAAAGUUUCAAGAACAUCAUGAAUGGAUAAACUCAGAUGAACAAACUUGUGAAUGUUCUGAUCGUAUGAAUAUUGCAAUGAACAUUCUGAUCAUUUGAACAUUCUGACCUGAUGAACAUUCUGAGCUCAGGAACAUUCUGAACUCAGGAACAUUCUGAUGAGUGUGGGAUUGAGAUGGAUCUAUCUGAUUUGUAUCAGAUGACAUCAAAGGGUUUAGUUUAAGGCCCUUAGUGAUCAGUAAUCAAUCUUUAUUGGGAUUUUUCAUGAUUAACAAUUUUUCUUUAAGAAAAUUGAAUCUAUCCUCAACAAGGGGUUUUGUGAAAAUGUCAGCCAAUUGAUUUUCAGUAUCAACAAAGCUUAAUGCAAUAUUCUUUUUCUGAACAUGGUCUCUAAUGAAAUGAUGUUUUAUUUCAAUAUGUUUAGACCUAGAAUGCUGAAUAGGAUUCUUAGAAAGAUUAAUUGCACUUGUAUUAUCACAAUAAAUAGGAACACUUGUGUACCUUAGAGAGUAAUCUUCCAGCUGAUUUCUUACCCAUAAAAUUUGAGAGCAGCAACUAGCUGCAGAUACAUACUCAGCUUCAGUUGUGGAGAGUGCAAUGGUGUUUUGCUUUCUGCAAGACCAUCCAAUCAAUGCUUGUCCCAAGAAUUGACAGGAUCCACUUGUGCUCUUCCUUUCAACUUUGUCUCCAGCAUAAUCAGCAUCCAAUAAGCUACAAGAUCAAAGCUAGAACCUUUUCUAUACCAAAGGCCAAGAUCAGUAGUACCUACUAGAUAUCUAAAAAUCCUUUUAACUGCAGUUAAAUAUGAUUCUUUUGCACAUGUUUGAAAUCUAGCACAUAUUGACAUGCCAUUGAUGUUUACAACUCUAUCUUUGUCUUCAAUUUUUGUAAUUAAAGUAAGAUAAUUAUUCAACAAUGCUUAAAACAACCUUUUAUGCUCAAAGCAGGGCCAAUAUAAGUGUAAGAACAAAAUAUGCAGACCUUAGAGCAAUUUUUGAAGAUUAUAACAAGAUCACAUACAACAUCAUAAUGAAGAUCAAGUAUAUAAAAAAGCUUCUAAUGAUAAAUUCAAACAUAAGAUUCAUUUAAAAUCAUGUUUGAUGAAUGAUAUUUUCUUAAACCAUAUCAAAGUUAAGUGAAAUCUUCACGUUUCAGAUUAUUCUGAAGUUUAACAAAUUAAGACAUUUUUAUGUUUCAUAUCAAUGAACAAUCAUGAUUUAACAUUUAUGAUCAAACAUAAAUCUUCCUAUGAAUUAUUUAACAACAAUGAUGAAUUAGUUUCCAUCUCAUGUCAAUAACUCGGAUAGAAAUGCUUAAGAGUAAUUUAUUUCAAAUGUGAAGAGAUAAGUAUUACAAAAUGAUGUAACACAUUUAACAUGAUAGUUAAGAAAGAAUUUUGGGGCAAAUAAUGAGAGAAUAUUAUGCAUGAAUUUAUACAUAAUAGAAACAACCCAUUGUUCAAUUAUAAGAACAUUAAUUCAUUUUCAAUGCACCCUUAAUAUAUCUUGUUAAAGCAUAAGACAUCAUACAAUGAUUUCAAUCAUCAAUUAUGACGUGUGCAGUUGUAAAUGAGUAUAAUACCAUCAUGAAAGGAGUAUGAACAAAGUAUGAAACACUUAUUUGCAUUUAAGUUCAAACAUUUGAUAUAUGCACAUAUUAGAUAUGACAGAAUUUGAUGCAUUCAAUCAUCAUAUUUAUUAUAGUGCAAAUAAAUGUGUACCUUAUGCGAUGAUAUCCCUCACUUUGAGAUUCAAUGAAGAGAGCAUGUUUCUCUUUCUUUGAAAUACUUUCUCGUCUGGAUGGAGAAGUCCAAGCAUCAAUAAGAAAAACCUUCUGAAGCAAUUUAAUCAUCAGUAGCUUUCUCUUCUUCUUAGUCUUUUCAGCUUUCUGAUAUAAGUGUCUUUUAACAUAUUCAGAAGUUCUAGGAUUUGCAGACAUAUGAUCAACAUAUGGAAUGCUUUGUUCAUGAAGAAUGUUUACUUGAACAUUCUGAACUUGAUUUGAAGGAAUUGUUCCAUCAUUUUCAUCUGAGAAUCCUCAAAGACACUUGCAUUGAAGUCUGGGCUGAAUUCCUCCGCAUUCAGUUCAAAACCAUCUUGAUUUCAAGCUAGCUCAGCUUCAUCAGAUUCCUUUGUGGUAGUGUUUCCACUAAGCAUGUGUGUGGCUAGAACUUUAGCAACAUCAUACAUAUCAUGAUCUUUUAAUGACAGAGGGUCAUUUCCCAUAUCAGAUUCUAGAACAAUUUCUUGUUCAUCAAACUGAAGUUUACUCAUGAUGUUUGUAACAUCACUUCAGAUUUUGAAAUUGUUUCAGCAGUAGAAGAUUUAAAGGAUCCUUCUCCAAUAAAAGCUUUCAGCUUUGUUAGCUUUUUGAGUUACUUUUUCAAAAGCUUUUUCAAUUUCAUUAACCUUCUGAAGUUGUUAUAUAGGAACUUCAUCAACUUUUUGAGUUCUAUCUUUUAGUAGCUGCAUCAACUUUUCUGAAUUCAUGUUUCAGUAGUUGCAUCAGCUUCCUGAACCUUAUUGGCUGCAAUCUCAAUAUUUGAGGUAUUGCUUCAACUUGCUGACUUUCAUUCUCAACAACAUUAACUUCCUUUUGAAGUUCUUCAACAUUCUGAACUUCAUCAGCUUUCUGAACAACUUUGUUAGCAACGUCAGAAGCUUUUUGGAAGGUUUCUCCAGGGAUGUCUUGAUCCAUUGUUGGAGGAUAUUGUUGUCAAAUUCUUUUUGUCAAAGAUUAGAUAAUCAUUCUCAUACACUUCACUUUUUCAAAGACAUCUUAAAAUGCUUGAAUGUGAGUGUGAAAGUCAAAUCAUAUAGAAUAUGAGAAGUCUUCUUUGUUCUUCAAUCAUAUGUUGCAGGAUCAUGUAGUUGAGAUUGAAAGACAAUUUUGUUGAAAACAUGAUAUAUGAUACAUGAUCAACAUUAAUGACAUUUUCAAACACUUCCAAAGUUAUUUCUGCCUUGCUUGAACACAGAGGAAUGAACUUUGAAGCUUUCAACUUUUAGGAUUGAAUAGCUUCAGCAUCAGGAGCAUUUUCCUGAACAUUCUGAUACUAGUUGCAAAUUCCAUUUGAACAUCUUCUAGUGAUUGAACAUUUUCUCCACAUAUCAUCUUGGAAGCAAAUAUUUCUGCAUCACAGAUUGGCAAAGCUUUUGGUACCCAUAUUACUUUGGGUCCUUGAAGGUUAGUGUUUCUCUUCUUGAGAGUUUAUUUCUUAUGACCACAUUCUGAUUUAAGAUAAUCAGCUUUGUUGUAAUAAGAACAUUAUGUUUUACCAAUCUCAACCUUUUGAGACCAAUCUAAUUUAGGAUAAAAUGUCUUUUUGAAAUGAGGAUUUUUCUCAAGUUUCUUUUCAUAAAACAAUAUACAGGUUCAGAAUGUUGAAUCCUUUUUCAAAAUGAUCAUUUUUAUUUACCUUCUCACUUUUGUUUAGUAUAACAUAUUUUCAUGAUAAUUUUGUUUGUGAUAGGUUAUGAAUCCUAAACCAGCCUUUUUGAAAGGUCUUAACAGACUUCAUAAAGUUGGUUAUGUCCUUUUUUUUUUAAAUAUUACUUCUCUUUUCAAAAUAACAUUUUAUUUCAAAAGUUCAGACUUUGCUAAAUCUUACAAUUUUUGCUCAUUGAGAAUCUUAUGUUUCUCAAAUAUUUUAAAAUGAGAGUUCUACAACUUUUGAAUGGUUUCAAGAUAUAUCAUUCAAGAUUAGCAGUUUCACAUUUUCUUUCUUUAUACAAGAAAAGUUAUUAUUUUAAAAGUUCAUACUUUUAAGAUAAAAUGCAUGAGUCAUAUGAGAUAAUAGUAAACACUUUAGAAAAGAUAAGGAUCAGAUUUCUUACCUCUUUACUUUAUGUAUUGUCUUUUACUCAUGUGUUGACUUCUUCUUCUUCAAAAUCAUCUCUGAUUGCCAUCUUUGCAUUUUCUUCUUCAGAGGGAUUUUACUUUUCAAAUAUCCCACAUUGUUGCAUAUGUGAUAUGCACUUUGGCUUGCAGGUUUUGACAUUACUUCUUUCUGGAUCUUUUCCUCAUACACUGUUAAGUGCUCAACCCAUAGAGGCAGGCUCUGAUACCAAUUGAAGUAGAUAAAAUAGUCACAAGGAAGGGGGGGUUUGAAUUGUGACCCUUUAAAAAUUAACCUGAAACUUAAAAGUGAUUCUCAAGUAGUUUACUUGGAAUAGUUAAGUUAAUAUUCUGACUUCAGAACGUUCUGAAGUUCAUACACAUAAACAGUUUAAUAAAGUAAAUGUGUAAGUGUGUGUUGUGUAUACUGUAAUUAAAGAGUAUAGGGAAGAGAGAAAGAACACACAGAAAUUUAUAGUGGUUCACCCAAUGUGGGUUAGUCCACUCCUCACAAUCUUGUGAGAGUUUCCACUAUGAUGCUUGAGAUAACCUCUCAAAUCCUGCACCUUACAAUCUUGUUCACCUGAACAAUUACAAUCCUGUAUUCUCUAAGCCUCAGCAGGCUUGCACCUUCUUGCUAAGUUAACCACUUAGACUUUUACAACCUUUGCUCAACCUAACACUUUAGGACCUCUAAAAGUUAGAUGAGACUUUGUUACAAUUUGUAUGGAGCUUGAAUGAAUGAAAUCAGACAAGAGAAGAAAGGAAGGAAGUGUUAUCUUUAAAGAGAUAACAGAAAGAAUUGAUUUACACUACAAGAAGAUAUUAAAGAAUCUUCAGUGAUGAUCAAUUCAGAUGCUAAAGCUUCAAAACAACCUCAAGUUGUUUUUCUUGUAUGCUUUGCAAUUUGUGUGGAGUUUGAAUGUUUGAGAAUCAAACAGAGGAGGAGGAGGAAGAAAGUUAUCUUUGCAUGAGAUAACAAAGAGUAUUGAUGUGCACUAAGGAAACAAGAGCCUUAGAGAUUGAUCAAUUUCAAUUGCAAGAGCUUCAAACAAAAUCAAGUUGUUUUCUUGUGUGCUUUGCAAUGGUGCAAGUUUUGCUAAGGCCAAGCCCUUUAUUUAUAGAGUCCUUGGGCUCAUAUAGCCGUUGUAGGGUGUCCAAUGGUGUUAUGCCAUGUGUCCUGGGUCCCACAAGCUUUAACUUGAAAUUCUGGGCAAACAUUCUGAUCUCUGAUGAACAUCAGAAUGUUGUUGUGUUCAUGAUGAUCUUCAUCUGGGUUCAUCACGUUCUUCAUCUGGGUUCAUCAUGUAUGAAUGAACACAUGAAGUUCUGGGCUAUGCAUAUGCUUUUCAUAUGAAUUUCUGGACAAUAACCAAUGUAUGGACUUUUCUUCAUACAUCAGAAUGUUCCUUUCCCAGAUUUUGUCUUGGAACCGGUGCAGGAGGAUUUAGUGGGAUUCUGCAUCUUCAUGCCCAUGCUUUGAGAGAUUGUGUUGUCCUUGUUCAGUACCAACUCUCAGACGUGUCUAUCUCUUGUUGAAGAUGACAGAUUUGCUUUGCUUUUGCUUUUUGCUUUUCACCUACUAUACUGUUCAUAAAGUAAGCAUGAGCUGAGCUUGAACAUUCUGAUCAUCAGAAUGUUCCAUCUGUUUCACUUAGGAUGAUUUGUAAGACUAUCAUUUGAUGUAAUCAAAUCCUAAUAGUGAAACAGUAAUGAAGAGCAGUGAUAAUAACAUCUAGGAUGAUAUUCCUUUGUGAAAUAUUCCUAGUACAUCAAUGUUCAUAGUCUUAAAUGAACAUUGAAUGCCUUCUUUGACAUAACUCUUGUAUAUGCCUUUAUUGCUUGAUUGAUCCAUGCAAAUGUACUUUCCUGGACAUAUAUUCAUGUCACAUGUGCCUUGCAUGAUCUUGAUCACAGUUCUUGAGAUUCUUGGCUUGUAUAAGAACAACCUUCUGAACUGGAUUGCUUCUGAACAACCUUCUGAACUAGGUUGCUUCUGAACUGGUUGCUUCUGAACUUGGUUGCUUCUGAACAUUCUGAUCUUCGAGCAACAUUCUGAUCUAACUUUCUGACCUCAGUGUUAGAUCAUGAAUUCAAAUGUCCUUUGAUUUCUUGAUUCUUGGUAUGAUUCAAACCUUGUUCCUGUCUUAGUAAAACACUCAAGAGCACAAGUUAAAUACCAAGAAAUUAAUCAAAGUCCAUUAAUUCUUUAUUCAUAUUUGUUUAUUAUCUUUAAAAUUAAUUAGGGAUUUUACCUCAACAGUGAGGUGCAGAAGGUGCGGUUCGGCACGCACAUGGUAGUUGAGGAAGCUGAUGACUGGUGGGUUAGUCUUCUAUCUGUCCUAGAGCAAGAUGGUGUUGUUAUUACUUGGGCUGUAUUUAGGAGAGAAUUUUUGAGCAGAUACUUUCUGGACGAUGUGCGAGGUAAGAAAGAAAUAGAAUUUCUAGAGCUGAAGCAAGGAGAUAUGUCAGUAACGGAGUAUGCUGCAAGGUUUGUGGAGCUUGCUAAGUUUUAUCCACAUUACACCGCGGAGACAGCUGAGUUCUCCAAGUGUAUCAAAUUCGAGAAUGGCUUGAGAGCUAACAUCAAGAAAGCCAUUGGUUAUCAGAAGAUUAUAAACUUUUUUGAGUUGGUGAGUAGCUGAAGAAUUUAUGAGGAUGAUACCAAAGCCCAUUAUAAGGCUAGGGGUGAGCGGAUGAAUAAUGAUACGAAUCGUUCUAAGCCGUACAGUACCCCGGGUGAACUUAGGUUGAAUGACGAAAGGAGGCCCAAGAGGGAAGAGACUCUUGUUGAAAUAGUUUGUUACAGAUGUGGUGAGAGAGGUCACAAGAGUAACACUUGUGCUGGUAAAGUGAAACGGUGUUUCCGUUGCGGUGAAAAGGGUCAUACUGAGGUAGAUUGCAAUCAUGAUGAUGUAGUUUGCUAUAACUGCAAGGAAGAAGGUCAUAUUAGUUCGCAGUGCAAGAAGCCUAAGAAGGCCCAGACUGGUGUGAAGGUUUUUGCUUUGACUGGUACGCAGACGAUGCACGAAGGAUCGCUUGAUUAGAGGUAUAUUUUCAAGGACGAAAAUUCUUAAGUUGGGGAGAGUUGUAACGCCCCAAUUUUAUUUAAUUAUUAUUGGUCGAUUUAACGUCUUUUUAUAUAUGAUUUUAUAUUAUUAUGUGGUGUGUUAUAUUUUAUUAAAUGAGUUAUGUUACUAUUUAAUAGAAUAAGUGGGAAUUUAGAAUAUUUGGAGUUCAAGGGGCUGAUUUAGAAAUAAAGAGAAUUGAGGGGGAUUAAGUGGGAAUAGAAAAAGUUGGAUUAGGUUUAGAAAGGAAACUGGAAAGGGAGAAUUAGUCAGAAAAACAUUUUCACGUGGAAGCAGCUUUUGGGAGAAAAACCAAGAGGGAGCCAAGAGUAUCCAAGAGAAGAUCGUGUAGAGCUUUGUUCACCAAUCUAAGGUAAGGGUGGGACUAUCAUUCAGUGAUCUUAAGUCUAUAAUUCUGAAAUUGGAUUUAACAUGUAAGUUGUUCUUGAUUUGAGAAUUUGAGAAUUAGGGUUAAAAGUGAUAAUUUGGUGAUUAGAUGGUGAAAACGUGUUGAAUUAAUGUAGAAACUGUGUACAGACCUUAGAUAAUGCAUAGGAUGAUGAUUUGAAUCAGUUUUAAGGAUAGAACCAUGGGAUUGGGUGAUUUCUAUGAAAAUAUGCGUUUCUACCCGAGCUGAGAUUCAUCGCUCGCCCUCGCGAGCAGCAAGCCUCACCUCGCGAGGGAUGAUCUUCAUCGCUCGCUUCGCGAGCCGUUUUCUCUCGCCUCGCGAGUGAACCCAGAUGUUGCUCGCCACCGCGAGCAAGACACUCGCCAUAGCGAGUUGACCAGUGAGGUCGUCAUGAUUUUGUGAAUUAACGCUGUUGGUCAAGUCUUAGAUGGUUUUGAGUGCCGGAAUGUGUAUAAGAAUGAUUAGGCAGUUUUUAGAAUGAAAUUCAUUUGGAGAAGUUAAAAAUGAGAUUUUUUGUGUGAAAAAGGUGAAGUUCCAGAGAGCACCCUGAUUUUAUUCGCCAAGGCGAGUAGCUGGUUCGCCAAAGCGAAUAGCCAACUUUUGUGAACUCGCCAUAGCGAGUAGAGGCGCUCGCCUCACGAGCCUUUGAGUGUCAGACAGUCUUGUUAGGGUUUUUGCGAUCUUUUUCGCACAAGAUGCUAUGAGAUGAUCCUUGGGUUAAGAUAAAGAUUUAUUAAAAUAUUUUUAAUGUUCGGUGAGUCUGAUAUAAGAUGGUUGAGGGUGUUAAUAUUAUGGUAAAUUUGCCAAUGCAUUAUGUGGAUUAUGUAUGAUGUUUAAGUAGUGUUGAUUAUCAUUUGGUAUUGUCAUCUUUUGGGAUGUCUAUGUGCUACUAGUGUUGCUGUUGGAUCUUAAUUAAGAUGUAAAUGUUGGUCUAAAUUGUAAGCGUUGUUGGGUUGUACGUUGCCGAAUAAGUCAUAAGUAAGUUAUGCAAAUUGUCGAUGUUGUCAUCAUCGUUGGUGUUGUUGUUGAAGUCGUAGUUUAUCCGUUGUUGGUGAUUGUUUAUGUUAGAUGUUUUUAUAAGAGGUGGUGUACUCUUACUUUGUCGUCUUUAUAAGAGGUGGUGUACUCUUACUUGUCGUUUUUAUAAGAGGAGGUGUACUCUUACUUUAUCGUUUUUAUAAGAGGUGGUGUACUCUUACUUUGUUGUUGUUUAUAAGAGGUGGUGUACUCUUACAUUGUUUAUGUUGAUGAGUAUGACUAGGUUAUGAUGAUCUUUUAUAGGAUGUGAGGUUGUUAUGAUAUUACAUGAUGUUACCUAUGAGUUGUUAAAUGUACUUGAUGAGGGUUAUGUUAAGUUGAUAAGUUGUCUUCUAUUCAUGAGCACUAAGGGGAUGUUUGUAACACCCCGUUUUCCCAACAUAAAAAUUUCGCAUAAAUAAUCAGAGUUUUUCAACAUAAACGGAAUGUCACAUUCUUUCCUUAAAAUCCUAAACUGAAUAAAUAACUAUUUAUCAUUUAAAAAUUCAAAUACAAGAUCUUUAAUACUUCGCAGCGGAAUUUAUUCAAUAACUAAAACAGUCUUUGGCACGAAGGCCUCUUCGUAAAUGUCUCAUAAAAAUCCAAUCUAAAAACAUAGUGAUAAUACGUAAGGAAUAGAAAAGCAAUACCAAAAGAUCCCAUCCCGUUACGUAUCAGAGCACCUAAGACACACGAGAAGGAAAGCUCACACGACAUCAAUUAAUCUUGGUUACCUGUUAGUUACCCAUGGUGGGCAAAUAGAAGGGGUGAGAUUUCACAAACAAUAAUAUUAAGCAUAUAAUUCAUCAAUUACAUUUAACAACAUAAGCAUCAUCAAUCAUAUUUAACAACUCAUAGACAACAUCAUGUAAUCAUCAUAAUAUUCAUCAUAGAUAAUAAUAUAUCAUAAUUCACUUCUUUAAUAAUUCAUAUCACAGCUUUAAACAAUUUCAUGAUUUAACAACUUAACAACUCGACAACUUGAUAACUUGACAACUUGACAACUUAACCUCUUGACUAUGCAACUUAAUCUUCUAAUCAUGCAUGUGGUACCAAUCUUUGAGCGUAAAUAGGCUCCCAGGGCAUCAAGCCCUCAACUUUAUUUGAGCGUAAAAAGGCUCCCAGGGCAUCAAGCCCUCAACUUAAUUGAGCAAAGGCUCCAGGGCAUCAAGCCCCAACAAUGAAAUGCUAAUGCAUGGACUCGACCUCUUAACAUGUUAAAUCGACAACCUCUUAUAUAAUCCAAUAAUUUGGAACUUCAUCAUCUUAAUCAACUUAGACCGACUCAUGCAGCUUAGUUAAAUAACAACAGCAACACAACAGUAUACAAAAACAGCAUGACAUAAUAAUAUCAAAUGCAAGUCAACAACGUCUCAAUUAUUCACAUAUAAUUCAAGUAAUGCAUAUACAAUUAUAUCACAGUAUAACAACAUCAAAUAAUAAUCAACAUCUUAAAACAUCAUAUAUACAUAUAACACUUCAUCAAUCAUGGACAAUAUCGUAUUCACAACAUAUACAUUCAUAUACUAAUUCAUCAAUCAUAUUCAAUUAUUCAAUGUUACCUACGUGCAGUAAUUUGACUAUAACUCAAGUUCUAUAAAUUCUUUUGAAGUCAAACCAACGACAUUAGAAAGCUAACAUUUAUACCUACAACUUUCAUGUUUACACCUAAGACCAAUUCUGUACCAAUCAAUAUCAGUUUUCAUUUCAAAUUCGGACAAAGUUGUGCUGAAAUUCAUACAAAUUCACUAAGACCUCCUUGGGGUAUUUUCAUCAUAACUCCUAAACCAAAACUUAUUUUUACGUCAAACCAAAGCCAUUGGAAAGCUAACCAAAUUAUCUACAACUUUCAUUUUUACACAAAAACCCAGUUCAAAACAGAAAUGUGUGAAAAAGAAGCAAGAACAUGGAACAGAAGAUGCUGUCACUGUGCAGCUCUCGGGAAAAACCAAUUUUUCACCCAAAAAUUCCAAUUUUGACUUCCCAAUGCCCAAAUUUGAUUCCAAAAUUUGUCUAAACAUUUAUAUAGAUCAAAAGAGACUCAAAAUCAUAUAAAACUUGACCAAAAACAUUAUUUUAGAAAAUCAUCAAUUAACCACUUUUAACCCUAAUUCUCAAAUUCUCAAAAACGAAAACCUACAACAUGUUAAAUCCAAUUUUCAGAAUCAAUGACUUAAGAUUAUUGAAUGUUAGUCUCACCCUUACCUUAUAGAUGAAAAUCGCAGCACUCCUAGGUCUUCCCCCUCCUCUCGGCUUUUUCUCCCUUUUCUCUAAAAUUGAUCGUACGUUAUGUUUUUUCUAAACUAGGUUUCUCCUAUUUAUAACCCUUUUUUCUAUUUUAUCUUAUUUCUCUUUCUCCCCCAAAACUCUCUAAAAUCUCAUAACAAACUCUCAACUCAAUCUUAUUUCUAUUUUCAAAUCUUAAUCUAUUAAAUAAAAACAUAAGCCACUUAAUAAAUCACAUAAUCAAAUAAAUAUAUUUUAAACUCUUCUUAAUAAAUUUUAGACUCAAUUAAAUAAUUAAAUAAAUCUAAUAAUUCAAAGAGGGCGUUACAAUGUUAAGAAGAAUUAUUAUUGAGUGUAUAUGAUGAUGUCUAUGUUGUUAACUGUAAUUGAUGAAUUAUAUGCUUAUUAUUAUUGUUUGAGAAAUCUCACCCCUUCUGCUUGGAAAUGUUGCCCUUCGUAUGGGUAACUUGCAGGUAAUUGAAGAUUAGUAGGAAUGGGGGCUCAAGUGUCUAGGGAUCUGAUACGUACGGGAUGGGAUUUCUUAUUGUUUUUCAUUCCUUAUGUAUCACAUUUUUGGAUUAUGCUGAUGUAGCCCUUAUUUGGUUGUUGAAUUAAUUGAUGGGGCUUUUAUGUCAAGACUUUUAUUGAAGAAUUAAUAUGUUGGAUGUUGUGGUUAUUUAAUGUUGAGAAAAUAUUUCCGCUGCAAAAUUGUUGUCGUUUUAUGAAGGAUGUUUUAUUAAAUAGUUUUAUAUUCUAUUUAAGAAAAUUAUGAAAGUAAUGUGACAUUCCCGUUUGAGAUUUACUCUGAUGAUUAUUUAAUAUUUAAUUGCUUUUGGGUAACGGGGUGUUACAAUUGGUAUCAGAGCAGGUUGGUCCGUCCAGCCAAGUAGUAGAGUCGUGUUGAGAGUGUCAACUCUAAACUGUCUUUUGUUAUUCUGAUUGUUGUUUGUGGUGUAGUGUUUUGAGAUGGCUGGGAGAAAUGAUGCUGCUAUUGCUGCUGCACUUGAGGCUGUAGCUCGAGCUGUAGAAUAACAUCCACAAGUUGGUGCUGGUAACGAUGGAGUAAGAAUGUUGGAGACUUUCUUGAGGAAUCAUCCACCAACAUUCAAGGGAAGGUACGACCCUGAUGGAGCUCAGAAGUGGCUCAAAGAAACUGAGAGGAUCUUCAGAGUGAUGCAGUGUAGUGAGGUGCAGAAGGUGCGGUUCGGCACGCACAUGGUAGCUGAGGAAGCUGAUGACUGGUGGGUUAGUCUUCUACCUGUCCUAGAGCAAGAUGGUGCUGUUAUUACUUGGGCUGUAUUUAGGAGAGAAUUUUUGAGCAGAUACUUUCUGGACGAUGUCCGAGGUAAGAAAGAAAUAGAAUUUCUGGAGCUGAAGCAAGGAGAUAUGUCAGUAACGGAGUAUUCUGCAAGGUUUGUGGAGCUUGCUAAGUUUUAUCCACAUUACACCGCGGAGACAGCUGAGUUCUCCAAGUGUAUCAAAUUCGAGAAUGGCUUGAGAGCUAACAUCAAGAGAGCCAUUGGUUAUCAGAAGAUUAUAAACUUUUCUAAGUUGGUGAGUAGCUGUAGGAUUUAUGAAGAUGAUACCAAAGCUCAUUAUAAGGCUAGGGGUGAGCGGAGGAAUAAGGAUAAGAAUCGUUCUAAGCCGUACAGUACCCCAGGUGAACUUAGGUUGAAUGACGAGAGGAGGCCCAAGAGGGAAGAGACUCUUGUUCAAAUAGUUUGUUACAGAUGUGGUGAGAAAGGUCACAAGAGUAACACUUGUGCUGGUAAAGUGAAACGGUGUUUCCGUUGCGGUGAAAAGGGUCAUACUGAGGUAGAUUGCAAUCAUGAUGAUAUAGUUUGCUAUAACUGCAAGCAAGAAGGUCAUAUUAGUUCGCAGUGCAAGAAGCCUAAGUAGGCCAGACUAGUGGGAAGGUUUUUGCUUUGAUUGGUACGCAGACGAUGCACGAAGGAUCGCUUGAUUAGAGGUAUAUUUUCGAGGACGAAAAUUCUUAAGUUGGGGAGAGUUGUAACGCCCCAAUUUUAUUUAAUUAUUAUUGGUCGUUUUAAAGUCUUUUUAUAUAUGAUUUUAUAUUAUUAUGUGGUGUGUUAUAUUUUAUUAAAUGAGUUAUGUUACUAUUUAAUAUAAUAAGUGGGAAUUUAGAAUAUUUGGAGUUCAAUGGGCUGAUUUAGAAAUAAGGAGAAUUGAGGGGGAUUAAGUGGGGAUAGAAAAGUUGGAUUAGGUUUAGAAAGGAAACUGGAAAGGGAGAAUUAGUCAGAAACACAUUUUCACGUGAAAGCAGCUUUUGGGAGAAAAACCAAGAGGGAGCCAAGAGUAUCCAAGAGAAGAUCGUGUAGAGCUUUGUUCAUCAAUCUAAGGUAAGGGUGGGACUAUCAUUCAGUGAUCUUCAGUCUAUAAUUCUGAAAUUGGAUUUAACAUGUAAGUUGUUCUUGAUUUGAGAAUUUGAGAAUUAAGAUAAAGAUUUAUUAAAAUAUUGUUGAUGUUCAGUGAGUCUGAUAUAAGAUGGUUGAGGGUGUUAAUAUUAUGGUAAAUUUGCCAAUGCAUUAUGUGGAUUAUGUAUGAUGUUUAAGUAGUGUUGAUUAUCAUUUGGUAUUGUCAUCUUUUGGGAUAUCUAUGUGCUACUAGUGUUGCUGUUGGAUCUUAAUUAAGAUGUAAAUGUUGGUCUAAAUUGUAAGCGUUGUUGGGUUGUACGUUGCCGAAUAAGUCAUAAGUAAGUUAUGCAAAUUGUCGAUGUUGUCAUCAUCAUUGGUGUUGUUGUUGAAGUCGUAGUUGUAUCCGUUGUUGGUGAUUGUUUAUGUUAGAUGUUUUUAUAAGAGGUGGUGUACUCUUACUUUGUCGUCUUUAUAAGAGGUGGUGUACUCUUACUUGUCGUUUUUAUAAGAGGUGGUGUACUCUUUGUAACAGCCCGAUUUUUUGCUAGAUUUAUUUUAAUUACUUUUAUUAUGUGUUUGUGUGUGAUUAAUUUUGUUUGUGUGUAUUUAAUUGUCAUUGGGUGCAUUUACAUGGAUUAUCGUAUUAGAAGAGUAUUUUAUUUUGGUCAUUUGACAAGUAAGGGUAAAAUGGUAAUUUUGGUGAGAAUUAUUUUAAUAUUUAGUGAGAACCCUUAUUUUACUAAGUUACUAGUACAGUGAUUAGUUUUUACCGUUUAGUGACCGUUGGUUAUGUUUUACCAUUGUUAGUAAUUACCGUUGAGUGUAUAGAAACUUUUUAGAAUUAUGUUAGAAUGGGUUAGGCCCAUUAGAAUUUAGAAUUGAGCCCAUUAAGGGAGAUAACAUUAGGGUUGUCAUAGAAAAUAUCUUUCAUUCACUUCACAAAAUAUUUUCCUAGAGAGAGAGGUAGAGAGAGAAAGAGGUGAAGAGAAGAACAAAGGUUUUGAAGAGAAUAGCUUGAGGAAUCAAUUGGGGUAAGCUUAGGAGCUGAAUUGAAGCAAGAGUUUGAGUUAAUCUUCUUCAAAGGUAAGGGGGUUAGUUAUUAUCAUAAUCAUGUACAAUUUUUGCAUUUUCUCAUGUUGUAUGAAAAUGGGUUGAUGAACAAUUGUUGCUAAAUUCGUGCUCUUGCUGUGAUGCUAUUUUCUUGUGCAUGAAUUGAUGAUUAUGGUAUGUUUGUGGGUGAAAUUACAUGUUUCAAAGUAUGUAUAAAUGUUAAGUUAUGAAAUUAUGCUUAAUUGAUGAAAUUUGAUAUGUUUUGAUUGAAAUGAGAUGUGAUUCAUAUUCCAUUGAUGUGGUUAUUGUUAACUGAUGUUAUUGUGAGUGAAUCAUGAUUUGGGUAUACUUAAUUGUGGACUGAUGAUGAGAAAUAAAUUGUUGUUGGUGGUUUUGUGAAAUUGGUGAAGUUGAGUUAAGUGUUCAUGUGAAGGACCAAAGUGAACUUUGAUAUAUAUAUAUAUGGUUGUUGACUGAAAAUUUGUUAUUGUUGGAUGAAUUGAACCUAUGAGAAUUUCUGUUUUCAUGUUGUGGUUAUGUUAGUUGAGUCGUUUGGGAGAAAACGGGUUUUUCGUGUGAAAUGUCGAUGUUUAAGCGUUUUCGUCAAUAAGUGAUUAUGUGAGGUUUUGGAAAAUGACUUUUGGGAUGGUUGAAACAUGAAAUUUUUGUAGAUUAUGUUAGAGUCAAGUGUCAAGAGCGUGUAGGCGAAAACGGCAUCAAAAUCCGAUUAACAGUUUAAAUUUUACGCGCGAAAUGGUGAAAAACGCACUUUUUGAAGAACUGAUUUCUGGACCUGAUGCUGGCAAAACGUGUCACGAUUUGGCAAGCGUGUCACGAUUUUGUUGGCCGAAAAUUCAGUGUUUCUGGACGUAAAAUCGUGACACGAUUUCUGCAAACCAGAUCCUGCAUAUUUCACUAUUUUUCACCCCUUUCUGCUUUGAAUUGGAUUUUGGUGUAAACAUGAAAGUUAUAGAUAAUUUUGUUAGCUUUCUAAUGGCGUUGGUUUGAGGUCCAAAUGAUUUUUAGAACUUGAGUUAUGAUCAAAUUACUACACAUGGGUCAUGUGGAUUUUUGUGAAAACUUAUCGUAACUUUUUCUAUGAGCCGUGGAACUUUUCCAAACUUGAUAUUGGGUUUAACGAAGUACUUAGAGGGGAUAAUUGAGUAUGCAUUUAUGUAUUUUGGGAAUGUGAAUGUGUUGAUGGUUCAAGAAAUAUUUUGGGCGGAGUUGAAUCGGUGAAAACGGGUUUUGAGCUAAAAUGUCGUUUUGUCUUGGAUUUUCUCAUACGAACUUAAGCUAUCCUUUGAACUAAUUUCUAAUAGUUUGUAAGUGGCUCAAGUCCUUGACUACAUGAUUGAUUAAGAUUGAAUUGUAGGAUUUCAAACUUAAAUAAGUUGCCUAGCUUUAAAAAUUAUCAAUGUUGGUCGUUUGCCACAUGAUUUGGAUUUUUGUCGGAAAUGUUUCUUUAGCAAAUUGUCUUGUGAGUUAUUGAGAUUAUUCUUGUAUGACUAAGUGAAGUUGUAUGAAUGAAUGAUUGUAUUGAAUAUGAUGUUUAACAUGAGAUGUGUAUGCUAUCUUACUUGGAAUAUGAGAAUGCUUGAAUAGGUGAACUAUAUGUGAUAGUUGAUGUUGAAUAACAUUGUUGAUGAUCAUGUUGAUGUGAUGAUGAUGAAUUCUAUGAUUUAAUUGUGUAUGGGAAUGUUUUCUUGAUAAUGCAAUGUUGUGAAGAUAAUCAAUAUAAUUGGGUGUUGUCCUAUAUAUUGAGGUUGAAAUUGUGGAUUGUUGUCGCAUUAUCGAGUCCUUAUACAUGUCCAUGCAUCAUAGUCGUGUUGAGAUACGAUGUUUUAUUCGUCAUAGGGCUUCGGCCUGACAGAGAUCUUUUGAGAUCUAGUUUUGGACUUCGGUCUAGCAGAGAUCUUUUGAGAUCUGGAUACGAUGUUUUAUUCGUUAUAGGGCUUCGGCCUGGCAGAGAUCUUUUGAGAUCUGGAUUUGGGUGACGACCUUUUGGAGAUUUGGUACCACAUGCAUUUAUGUGUCAAUAAGUGCAUAUCAUGACAUGAGUCUUAUUUGAUAUAUGUGAUUGGUGAUUGUUCAUGAAAUGUGAUUAAUGACUAUUCAUGAAUAUUUGUGAUUGGUGAUUGUGAAUUGAUAUUUGUUCCUGAUACAUGUAAUUGGUGAUUGUUCAUGAAAUAUGAUUAAUGAUUGUUCAUGAUGUAUAUAAUUGAUGAUUGUGUAUGAAUAACUAUGAAAUGAUAUUUGUUCAUGACACAUGUGAUUGGUGAUUAUUGAUGUGAGAUAUUGGGGUUUGAUGUAAGUAUUGAUGUGGGAAUAUUAUUAUUGAUCAAGUGCAUGAUGUUUAAAUUGAAAUAUUUAUGUUAACUGUUAUUUGGAUUAUGAUAAUGUAAUAUUACCCCCAGUGGAUCUGUUAUGGACCGCCUGCCUAUCUGUAUGGAUGGGUAGAUGUUGCGCAGGUUUAGUUGCUUGGUGAGUUCUUGUGCUUGGUGGAUAUCAGGAGCUUUCUCCGAUAUCGGUAUUUAGAAUUAGUCGGCUCUGAUCUAGGCUUCGUUGUGUCGGUCUAGAUUAGGUUAUCUUUGGAUUUUGUUAUGUUUGGAGAUUACCCGUUUGUUGGGAUUUUUGAGAUGCAUCUAUGUUGAGGUAAUUUAUUUAUUCAUAACAUGUAUAUUUGAAUUUACUCUGGUUUAUAUUCCGCUGCGACUAUUGAGGUUUAUAUACACGUUUAUUGGUUUUUGAAUUUUGAAUGUGGCGUAGCCUCUAUUUCUUGAAUAAAUGUAUUAUUCGCAUGUUUAAUUGCUUUAAUAGAAAUAGGAGCGUUACACUCUUACUUUAUCGUUUUUAUAAGAGGUGGUGUACUCUUACUUGUCGUUUUUAUAAGAGGAGGUGUACUCUUACUUUAUCGUUUUUAUAAGAGGUGGUGUACUCUUACUUUGUUGUUAUCUAUAAGAGGUGGUGUACUCUUACGUUGUUUAUGUUGAUGAGUAUGACGAGGUUAUGAUGAUCUUUUAUAGGGUUGAAUGUGAGGUUGUUAUGAUAUUACAUGAUGUUACCUAUGAGUUGUUAAAUGUACUUGAUGAGGGUUAUGUUAAGUUGAUAAGUUGUGUUCUAUUCAUGAGCACUAAGGGGAUGUUAAGAAGAAUUAUUAUUAAGUGUAUAUGAUGAUGUCUAUGUUGUUAACUAUAAUUGAUGAAUUAUAUGCUUAUUAUUAUUGUUUGAGAAAUCUCACCCUUCUGCUUGGAAAUGUUGCCCUUCGUAUGGGUAACUUGCAGGUAAUUGAAGAUUAGUAGGAGUGGUGGCUCAAGUGUCUAGGGCUCUGAUACGUGUAACGCCCACUUUUAUUUAAUUAAUUAUUUAAUCAAGUUUAGACGAGUUAUAUUAUAUUUAUAUAAUAUAUGUGUGAAUUUUGAUGAUUUAUGACGAUUUAGAUGAUUUGGAUGAUUUUUAGAUGAGCUAUGAGUUUUGAUGAUUUUAUGAGAUAUGAGACUUAUUUUAUUGUUUAAUAAAAUAAGAUUUGAAAAUAAAAUAAAAUAUUUAGUUAAGGGCUGUUUUGAGAUUUUAGAGAAUUUUGGGGGAGAAAGUGAGAUAAGAUAAGAUUUUAGGAGGAGAUAUAAAGAGGAAAACCUAGUCUUAGGAAAAUUAGUACGUACAACUGUUUUUGGAAGAAGGAGGAAAAAGUCAAGAGAAUGGAGAAUCACCAUAGAGGCUGCGAUUUCUUCACUUUAAGGUAAGGGUGAGACUAACUCUACAAUUUUAUUAAUCAUGUAAUCCAUCUGGUUGUAAUUAGCAAGAAUUAGGAUUGCAUUGGAGAAAUCGAAAAUUAGGUCAAAUCCCUAGAAUUGAUGAUUAAACAGUGAAAAUUGAUUAGAUUGAUGUAGAAACUGUCCUUUGACCUUAGAUUAUGUUUAGAAUGAAUUCUGGAAUUGAAAUUAGGCUUAGAACCAUGAGAUUAGAUGAAUUUUCGUAGAAAACUACAUUCUGCCCGAGCCUAUAUUCAUCGCUCGCCCUGGCGAACGAUGAUCCUCGCCUCGCGAGUGAUGAAGUUCAUCGCUCGCCACGCGUGCCAUUACCCCUCGCCUCGCGAGUUACAAGUCGUAGCUCGCCACAACGAGCAACCUUACUCGCCAUAGUGAGCAUGACCAGAGAGCAUGUUGAAUUCUGUAUUUUUGACUUUUUAGUUGAACCUUAGAUGCUUUUGAGUGCCUUAAGAUGUUUAAUAAAGAUUAGAUGAUGAUUUAGAACGAGAUUGAACCUGGUUUAGCUUAGAACAACUUGAGUUGGAAAUCUGGCUUGUACUCGCCAUGGCGAGCAGAUGCUCUCGCCUCGCGAGCACUUCCAGAACUGAGUGCAAUUGAGAAUGUUGUGACCUGAGUUGCUUGAAUUGAUUAGGAAUGGAACUUUAGGUAGUAGUAAGACAUAUUUAAGAUGUUAACUGAAAUCUGUGAGGUUGUUUGAACUGCUAAGUUGUUUGUAAUGUGAUUUAAUGAUUAAAUGCAUUACUUGAAAUAUUCUUGAAUGAUCUAGAUGUUGAAAUGAAUUGUUGUUAUGAAGUUAUAAAGUUGUUGUGAUCUGAUUAUGCUGCUUUUGUUAUUUAACCAAGUUGCAUGAGUCUAUACAAGAUGAUGUUGAACUCCAAAUUAUUGGAUGUAUAUGAGAUGAUGAUUAAGAUGUUUUAGAUGAUUGAGUCCAUGCAUUAGCAUACAUUUGUUAGGGGCUCAUGCCCUGGAGCUUUGUACUCACCAUGAUGGAGCAUUUGCUCAAAAUAAACUGUUGGGGGCUUAUGCCCUGAAAGUAUAUUAAUACUAUAAUGCUGGGGGCUCAUGCCCUGAAUUGGUACCACAUGCAUAUAAGAGGUUUAGGUUGCAUUGUCGCAUUGUUGAGUCAAAAGAUGUUAAGUUAUUGAUGAUGAUUGAAUGAAAUGACUACUUGAUAUUUUAUUAUCAAUGAUGAUAUGAUGUUUAAGAUGUUUAUGUUGUUAAUUAUGAUUGUUGAAUUAUAUUGAUUAAUAUUAUUGUUUUGUGAAAUCUCACCCCUUCUGCUUGGAAAUGUUGCUCUUCGUAUGAGUAACUUGCAGGUGAUCGAGCUUAGUGUACAGUUUGCUGUUGUGAGUGGCCUUGCCUCACUGAGUCGUCUAGGUCGCUCUGAUAUGUAACGGGAUGGGGUUUAUGUUAUGCAUGCUUCAUUCUUUUACGUGUUCAUUUAUUGAAGAUUAAUUGAAAUUUUAUGAGAUGUUUUAAUGAGGCCUGCGUGCCAAGACUUUAUGAUGAUUUGAAUUUAAUUCCGCUGCUCUUUGGUUGAAGAAGGAUAAAUUAUUAUUUAUCUAUGUUUCUGAGAUUUUUAAGAAUGUGAUAUCCCGUUAAUUGAUGAUUACUCUGAUUCUAUGUUUGAAAUUUUUAUAUUAGGAAAACGGGGUGUUACAAUACGUACGGGAUGGAAUUUCUUAUUGUUUUUCAUUUCUUAUGUAUCACAUUUUUGGAUUAUGCUGAUGUAGCCCUUAUUUGGUUGUUGAAUUAAUUGAUGGGGCUUUUAUGUCAAGACUUUUAUUGAAGAAUUAAUAUGUUGGAUUUUGUGGUUAUUUAAUGUUGAGAAAAUAUUUCCGCUGCAAAAUUGUUGUCGUUUUAUGAAGGAUGUUUUAUUAAAUAGUUUUAUAUUCUAUUUAAGAAAAUUUUGAAAGUAGUGUGACAUGCCCGUUUGGGAUUUACUCUGAUGAUUAUUUAAUAUUUCAUUGCUUUUGGGUAAUGGGGUGUUACAUUUUUCAUCCUGGAAAAUGAAAAGUCACACUUUGACCAAAACCAUAAGUAGCUUGGUUUGUAAGCUAAGUCUUGCUAAAUUUAAUUUGAUUAGUAUGAUAGUCAAAGUAUGAUGAUUACAGAUCAAAUGAACAAGUAAAUUGACUAAAAUAAUGUUUAUAUCGAGUUUUCAUCCUGGAAGAUGAAAAGUUACACUUUGACGAAAACCAUUGGUAGCUUGGUUUGUAAGCUAAGUCUUACUAAAUUUAAGGCUUAAUUGAACUGUCGGUCCCUUAACUUAUUUCUUUAUUUCAGUUUGGUCUCAUAACUCUUAACUUUUGCAAACUGGUCCCUCAACUCACUUACGUUAAUCAAUAUGGUCCCCUCAAAAAGGAGAUCGUUGGAUAAGUGAGGUCUACCAGAUUUUAUAGUGUAUCACCAACACCUGAUUUAUUUACUUUCUUCUUCUUCUUCUUCUUCCCUCAUCUUUAUCUUCAUUCAACCUUCAUCAAUCUUCAUCAUUCAUCAAUCUUCAUUAAAUAAAAAUAAAACUCAAUUUCUUUUUCUUUCAAAAAUAAAAGGCAGAUAUCAAUCCAAUUCAAUAAAAAAAAAAUAUUAUUUGGGUCAUUAACAACUCCAUUACCAUGAACACCAUUCACGGUCAAAAAAUGAACACCAUUUCCAGGAGAAAGAAUAUUCCUUGAAACUGAUUUUGAACAAGUUAGGAGAGAUUGAUGUUGGCGGUGAACGCCAUAUAAGCGAUCCGGUGAAGAGGGUGGAAUGGGUCGGAAAGUUGUGCUCUGAUUUGCAUAGUUUGGUGGCUUCUUUAGAACAAGAAACAAGGAAAUCUAAAAGAGCAUCAGAGCUCUUGUUGGCACAGUUGAAUGAGGUUCAAGAAAGGAAUGAUAGUUUUCAGGAGGAGCUUCCUAAGGUGACUGAUGAACUUGUGGAUCUCAGAAGAAAAAGGGAUUGGGCGGAGGCUGCCAAACUGGAAGCUCUUUCACAUCCUGAUUUUUGUUGUUAUUGUUGAUUUUUGUUUUUAUUGGAUGUACUAUAUUUCUGGGUUUUUUGUUGUUUCUGGUUUGUUGAUGACGAAGAUGAUUCAGUUUAUGUAUUAAGAUUGAUAAAAAUGAUAUGGAGAAAAUGAGGAGCACAAAAAUUUGUUUAAUGAUUUAUUUUUGAAAGAAUUUUUUUUUGGAUUUUUAUUUUAUUUUAUGAAGAUGAUGAAGGUUGAAUGAAUAUGAAGAUGAAGAUGAGGGAAGAAGAAGAAGAAGAAGAUGAAAGUAAAUAAAUCAGGUGUUGGUGAUACACUAUAAAAUCUGGUAGACCUCACUUAUCCAACGAUCUCCUUUUUGAGGGGACCAUAUUGAUUAACGUAAGUGAGUUGAGGGACCAGUUUGCAAAAGUUAAGAGUUAUGGGACCAAACUGAAAUAAAGAAAUAAGUUAAGGGACCAGCAGUUCAAUUAAGCCUAGAUUUAAUUUGAUUAGUAUGAUAGUCAAAGUAUGAUGAUUAUAGAUCAAAUGAACAAGUAAAUAGACUAAAAUAAUGUUUAUCACUGCAAGAAUUCCCCAAAGGCUUAAAUGCUCUUUUGGUCCCUUAACUAUUUAAUUGGUAUCGCUUUGGUCCCUUAACUAAAAAAAAGAUUGUUUGAGGAUUUUAAGUUUUUUUUUA